Molecule: long non-coding RNA, 51509 nt
Filed under: Citrus maxima (pomelo)
Lineage: Eukaryota; Viridiplantae; Streptophyta; Magnoliopsida; Sapindales; Rutaceae
Description: long non-coding RNA (CMAX_LNC003344)
Source: RNAcentral
GUUGCAGAAGCUGCACCUCCACUCGGGAGGUUGUUAUCAAUUUAUCACUCUGCUUUCGUGGAGGGAGUUCAAACGGACUUCAAGAUUGAACCAUCGUUUGGAGUUGAAGCCUCGCAGCUUUAUCCUGAUGUCAAGUACACUACAGUUGAUGAGUACCUCAAUCAGUUUGUGUAACCCUUCUCUGCUUCCAGCUGCAGCUUGCAGGAUCUUGGACUCUGGGUAAAUAAAUAAUGGGCUUGUUGCAAUCUUUGGUUUUUAUAUGUAAAAAUUAUGGUUGUUGGCCUUACUUUCUUCUGGUUGUCAAUGGAAUUUGUAAGACCAUUUUAUGUUUGCUAUGUCAGUGAUCAAAUGAAGUAGGCCAUGUACUUGAUCUGAGAAUAAUUAUAAAGCCAACAUGGUCAGGUGAGUGCGUCUGUGGGGCUUUUAUUAGGGUGCGUGUGUGAGGCUUCUGAGGGGCUUGUGAUAUGGGGUCUACAGCCCCUAAUGGGCACGCGACUGCGUGCACUAAAUGAAGUUAUUAUAAAAAUAAUUAUAGAGUCACCAAGGCAAAAAUUAAAAGUAAUUUGCCAAUAAAAAUAGUUAAAAGUAAUAAAAAGUAGGUAUUAUAUUUCAAAAAUCAAUUUUUCAUUAAUGUUUAUAAGAUUAAAUUUGUUCUUAUCUUUCCUUAAUAAACACAAAAAUUUAUCGUUUUGGACUAAUUAAAAUUUUAAAACUAGCUAACAAGCAAACCGCCAUUAAUUUUUUUUUUUCCAUUUCUUUAAUCAUUCUUUUUUCUCUUUUUGACCUUUUUCUUUUUCUUUUCUUCAGUCCUUAUUUUUCUUUUCUUUUUUGGUUUUCCUCUAAACUCUUUAAGAAAGGCUGCCAAGCCUUGAAAAUAUCUCAAAAAAUAAGAUUUUCUUUCUUAAGAUUAACAUUUUAACCACAAAAAUAAAACUCUAGUCCAAACAUUGAGCACUUACAAAUCAAACGAUAAAAACCUCUUAUUAGUACAUUAACCGUAAAAUAAAAAAGAAUUAUCACAAAUAUUGAAAUGUUGUUGUUUGAUGCUUGAGAUUCUUGAAAUGUAUGCAGAAUUCCGACAAUAUUUUGUUGAAGCAACUCUCGGAAACUUGUUUGUUGAGAUUGAUGAAGAGUCCAUGGCAAGUAACCAGGCAUAUUGCAAUCCUUGUAAUUAUUCUGACCGAGAACAAUAAAACAAAAAGUGAAAACUGAAGAAAAUGAUAAGAAAACAAUAGAAUAAUAAUAUUAAAAACUCGCUAAUCUUGCCCAAUUUUUUUUUUUUUUGGAUAAUGUUCAGCGUAUACUAGAAUCUUUUAGAGCAGAAGCAAAACAGCAACAACUUUUCAAGAAAAGAAAAAAAAAAAGAAUUAUUAAAGAAAAUGGAAAAAAGAAUUAACGGCAGUUUAUUUGAUAGCUUUUAGAUAGCCAAAACCGGUGAGUUUUUGUGUUUUAAUAAGGAUAGUUAGGAAUAAAUUUAAUCCUCUCUAUAGAAUCAUUUAGUUACUAUGUGUCAAAAUCUCCUGUAAAGAAUAGGAAAAAUUAAAUUAGAAGAGGAUCCAAAUCAGGACUUGACUAGCUUACAGAAUCUGUAAGCUACGGACUGCAGCAUCAGCCGUUGGAUGUGGUUGGAUGUGGAGUGAGAAAUUAAACAAUAGAAGAUCGGAUGGUGGGAUGACGGGAGAUGUUUGUUACAGAAUCUGUACCAUAGACAGGUCCUCCAAAUCAUCAACAUCUUGGAAUAAACAAAAGAAUCUAAACAAAAGAAACUCGUUUUGCGUGUGAACCAGUUCAAGAUAAAGAGCAGACUAUUGGAAAGAGACAAAUACUACAAGAAUAACAAAACAUUCUACAGUUACUACAUAAGCCUGCAACAAUUAAUUAUUAACUCAAGAUUUAUUACACUUUUUCUUUAAUUUGACAAAGAAACCAAAAAUGAAAUAAAAUUGACAACAGCAAUGAUAUGCUUACAACAAUGAGUAUGAAACUUAGUACAACAAGGACCUUUUUGCUAAUUUUUUCAAAUUUUUAUGAUAUUUUAGAAUUUAUGGGUUUUAUUGAUUUUGAUAAAUUGGAGCAUUUCUCCAUUCAUCUUUUCUGCAUCUAUCCCUAAAUUUCUUAUCUUUGUAAAGUUUUAACUAUGUCUUUGUAAAGUUCUAAAUGAUUAUCUCGUUCAUAGAGAUCUAUAGUUAAAUUAAUUCUUGUAUUUAUAAUCAUUUGUCUCCUUUGAGACAUAGACCAAAUUUUUUCUUCUAACAUUCCUAUGUAUAUUCCUAAGCUAUAUUUCCAGCUUAGGUACAUCUUAUCUAGGAUUUCACAAAUAAAUUGUAAUUUGAGAUCUGCAUCUUGAAUCAACAUCACCAUAUUAUUAUUAUUAUUAUUAUUAUUAUUAUUAUCCAUUGUUUUAUACUCGAUUUUGGGUUCUAUUACUAGUCGCACUUGUCUUGGAUUAUUUCAAGGCUAGAUAGAAUUGAUUCUAUUAAUGCUAUCCUGUUUCCUUCUUCAAAUGAAUCGAAUAUUUUUGGAUCAAUAAUUCUUUUCAUUUCUUCAUACAAGUGUUUGCUUGUAAUUAAUCUAGUUUUAACUAUGGAAAUUGUAUAAGCAACUUGAUAUUCUUGACUAAAGUCUAGAUGAUCAAUUGCGUCUAGAAAUUUAUUAACAGAUCUUUCCAUUUUUAUGAAAUUGAGUUACUUUUAUCACUUCCUAUCUUAUAACAUUUCAGAAUACAAACAAGGCCCAACAUGCUUCCAUUUGUUGCUAAAAUAAAAGAAUAGAGUUCAAGAUUACUAACCAGUGUACAUUUCUCGGAAUUCUAAGAUAGAUUCACUAAUUGCCUCCAACCAUAGAGAGGUCUAUGGUUAACUCCGCCAUAGCUCCACACAUCAUAUAAGAUCACUUCAACGACUGUUACAUAGGCCCAACGCAACAUAUAGCAAACGGGCCUAAAAGAAUAUGUCUAAGUGAUUUGCUUACAGCUGUCUCUGGAAGAGUGCUUAGUAGUAGAAAAUCUUCUUCCUUUAGCACAAGUAUUGGCAUGUAAGGUUCUUGGUUAUUUUCUAAGAGUAUAUAAGAUAUCUGGAAGAUGACAAUUUCGCUCAAAAGAGUUUUAUUUAUUUCAUCAUUGAAAUUAUUUACAGAGGAUGGUUACAGAGAAUACAGGUGUAGGUGUAGGUGUAGGUGUAGGUGUAGGUGUAGGUGAAGGUUAGGCAUGUGAUGUCCUUCCCUUCUUACAUGUUUCUAUUUAUAAUCUUAAAUAGAUAAGGUUAUCUCUUUUACAUGACACUUGUUUAAUUCUCUUGGUGGAUUGUGGAUUCUUUCCUGAUAAGGUGACCCUUCUUCUUUUUAUCAUUAAAGACAGUGGUUGUCUUCUUUUCCUGGUGGUAGACAGCCUUUAUCUGGUUGUAGUGUGCUUUAUCUUUUUGGAAUCUUUCUUUUUGAAUUAUUAAUGCUUUUAGGAUAGCACCUUUUAUCUUUUCCAAUGGUUCCUGUCACAUGCCAAGUAUCAAAUCUUCCUCUAGUGACAUGUCUUCCCCACUAGAAUCCUUUUUUGAUCCUUCGUAGCAGUAGCCACAUGAUGACUGAUGUUUUAGCACCUUGCAUACCUCGUGAUGUGUCAGUAAGCUGGAUUCCACGAGAUUUUCAUAUAUUGCCUUUUUCUUUUUUGAUAUGGCCUGUCUGGCUAAAAUGCUUUCUUUUCUACUUAUAGAAAAGAUUAUAUGCUCCUUUGUGGCUUCGUGGAGCCAUAUUUUUUCCUCACUUAUCCUCUCAAGAGAUUCAUAGAGGACUUUCAUUCCUACGGCUCUUUUGCUGGUGAGAGCUUUGGGUUCGAAAAAUUCAGGAUCAUAAUCAUUAUAGACUUGAUCUAUAUCAAUAGUUGGACUAACUUUUUGCUGCUAAUUCUAACUUAAAUCAUGUGCUGUGCUACCACUUGUUUUCACCGUAUUAAGGGCAAGCAGUGAGGAUCUUGAUAAAAAUUAGUUCUUUUGUUUUGGAUAUCCUUUUGUGGUCAUUAACAGCCUCUGUAUUUUUUUCUAGGAGCUCUUUUAUUUUCCUACAAUCAUCACGGACAUAAACAAGGUUAAGAAAACCGUAUUCAAACAUGUCUUUUAUCAAUUUUGGAUAAGCUCCUAGCACAAAUUUUAUCCUUGGGUAUAACCCUGAAUGAUAUGGUAUUAUAGUCUGGUUAUGAUGAAUCACAUAAGUUAUUUUACCAAUUCUUUUAUAAUUAUAAGCGUUGUCGCUUCCUAAUGGAUUUUUAACCAUAGGAACAGACUGUCCGCUUUUAUUAUAUUGGGGCCUUAAGCUCACUGAAGACCUUUGAGAUUCUUCUUUCUUCAUAUAUUAUUCUUUGAGAUCAUUGAUUGUGAGAAAUUUCUCUAGAUGUGUGACCUUUGAGUUCUGUGAAGAACUCUGGGCAAUCUGAUCCUUAGUUUGAUCCUUAAAAUGGACCUUUUUUUAGCAUAUUACUAAUAGAUUGUUAUGAAAUUUGGACUUCUGGAUGAUUUUGCAAACUUUUCUAUAGGCAAAGUUUGCUCAAUUCUUCAUGGGCAUCAUCUAUCAUGGCAAGCCUAUUAUAAAUUAUACCAUUGCCUUUGAGAAGCAAUUCUUGACCUUCAGAGCACAUUAUUAUGCCCUUAAUUAUUUUGGAAAGACCCUUCUCCAUUGUAUUCUCGGCUAAGAAAAUUUGCAAUAGAAUUGUUAGAUCCUUUAAUAUAUUCAAUUUCAAAAUCAUAUUCAGCAAAAAAACCGUUGCCAUUUAAUUAAUCUUUUAUAUUAAGGGAGAUUAGGCAAUUUAUUAAAUAUAAAUCCUUUAACUCGAGUGUUAUCAGAUCUUACCUUGAAUUUCUUUGGUAACAAAAAAAAGUAAAUUUAGCUAUUCCAUUUUUAAUAGUUAACAGUUCAUUUUCAUUACUAUGAUAAUUCUUCUAUGCGGGUUUGAAUGUUCUGGUGGCAUAUCUACAAAUCUUUUCUUGAUCUGUUUUUAAGACUACACCCCAGUAAUUAUCUGAAGCAUCGGUCUCAAGAAUUAAAUUAUCACUAGAAGUAGGGAAUCCUAAUCUUGGAAGAUUUUUACAUUUUUCUUUCGAUUUUUUUACUACUUUGGUAUGGAGAUCUUUCCAUGAUUUAGUAUUAUUCUUUUUUAAUAAUCCUUGUAAAGAUUGUCUUUCUUUAGCUAAGUUUUCUAUGAAACCUUCAGCAUAAUUAAGAUAUCCUAAAAAUAUUUGAAUUUGUUCUUUAGAUUCUAAUUUAUUUGGGAAUAGAUAUAUUUUCCAAAAAUAUGAGGUUGCAUCUCAAUUCCUGUUUCAUCUAUUAUUAACCCUAGAAAUUCUAUCUUGAGUUUCAUUAUUUCAGCUUUCUUUUUAGGGAGUAAUAUUCCAUGUUUCUUGCAUUUCUCUGCAAAAGAAACGAGAUGAUUAAUAAGAUAUAUCUUAUUAUCUGAAAAUAUAAAAAUAUCAUCUAAAUAAACAAUGUAGAAUUCAUGAAAUUCUUUGAAGAUUUGAUCCAUCCUUCUUUCAAAUAUUUUUGGUGCAUUUUUCAAUCCAAAAGGCAUUACAAUCCAUUCAUAUUAUCCUUGAGGUGUACUAAAGGCAGUAAGUGGUAUACUUUCUACUUUAAGUUUGAUAUGUCAAAAUCCAGAUUUGCAAUCAAACUUGCUAAAUGUCUUUUUAUCGGUCACGGAGAUAAUUAAUGUAUCUUUAUAAGGUAAAAAAUAUCCAUUGAAUUUGGUAUAUUUAUUUAAUUCUUUGUAGUUAAUAACCAUGCGAGCUUUUCCUCAUUUAAUUUCUACAUGAUUUCUAACCAUAAAGGCUGGACUACUAUGAGGACUUUUAGAUUUCAAAUAAUCUUAAGUUCUAAUAACUCUUCAAUUUUUUUUAUCAAAUUCUUGUCCAUGUUCUUGCCCAUCUCUCAUAGGCUUAACUCUUAUGAUACCAUUUAGAUCUGUUAAUUCGAUCUUAGCAUAUGUUUAAUCAAUUUCUCAUAAUUGAAUUGGGUUUUCACCAAAAUUUUUAUCAAGUUUUUCUAAAAUUUUUUCAUAGUCUAACAUGAUUUGAAUGAUUUUUAUAGUGUAAUCAACACACUGACUGUGUCGAAAAUGUAAUUUUUGAGUUGUGCGCCUAACAAGGUUAUAAAUUCUCGGGGUAGUAAUGGAAUGAUUACAUGGUGUUUUGAGAGUAAUGGCUUCAUUAGUCAUUAUAUAAAUGAAUUGACGAAGGAAAUUAACUCCUAAAAGUAUAUAUGUUCCCAUAUGAUCAUAAGACCAGAAUAUAGGGAUACUUAAGAUGUAAUCUUCGAUUUGGAUUAAAGUCUUAAUCCUACAAGUCCCUAAGGUGAUCUGUUCAUCAUUUGUUCCUUAUCCUUUUAAAGGCUUAUAAUCUUUCCAAUAUGGUUUUGGAUAAAUCCUAGAACUGGCAAAACUAACUCCUAAACCAGUAUCGAUUAAAGCAUAAAACCAUUCCAGUUUAUGUUUAUAAUAUGGUAUAAUCACUUUUAUAUAAAUUAUAAAAGGAUUAGACAUAUCUUGAUAUGGUUUGCUUAAUUCCUUCAAUUGUUAUACUUAUUUCUCUAUCUCCUGUACAAUAAGGAGAGAAAUUCUAAAGAAAGUUCAUCCCUAAUAAUAAAGGAUUUAUUUCUGUUUCAUAAUAUGGUUCUAUGAAAAAAGGAAAGAUGAAUUUUGUUCCUUUUAUUUUUAAUGGUAUUUUACAAUAUUUUCUUAAUGUCUUUCUUUCUCUAUUAAAUCCUACAUAAGUAUGAGGUUCAAUUAGAAUUUUUCUUUCUAAAUAUUUAAUCAUUUUAGCAUCUACAUAAGAUUUUGUAGCUCAUGUAUCAAGGAUAGCAAAAGUCUCGUGCCAUGAUUUUCCAUUAUUAUAGUCAAUCUUAAUUUUUAGAUUUUGAUUAUUUUUUCUAAUUGUGGCUAAUAUUUCAUGUGAUGGUGGUGUCACAAGAUGACUACAUCUAGUAAAACUUUGGGUUCCUCUGAAUUUUGGUUCUCUUUUGGGUAUAGAGAAUGAUCUUUUAUGUCUUAUAAUGAUUCUUCCUUCUGGAGUAUAUUCUAUAGAUUUAGUAGUAUUUCCUUUAAUCAGAGUAGGUUGACUACUUAGAUUCAUUUUCCAUUCUUAUGAUAAAUAUAUUUCUCUCUGGAUUUCAGGAUAUUUUAUAUUUCUAACUUUACUAAAUAAUUUAUCUAUUUCAAUAAAAUAUUUAUUAGCAAACAUUUCACUAUUUGCUGAAUUUGUUAAUGCAUAUUUUAUGGCAUACAUUAUGCUAUAUGGAUAAGACCCCUCAUGCAUUAUAUCAAAGUAUUUAAAAUCAUGACAUAAGGUUAAUGUUUUAUUUAUAUUUCUAUCCCUAAGACUUAUAGAAUAUUUAGGAUAUAUCUUAAAUAUCAAUUUUUUAUAACUCAAGUUUCCUUGUAUUAUUCUAGGGACUGCAUGUUUUCGAUCUUGUAUUCUAUUAUCUAGUACUGCUAAAAUUAUUGGACUAUCUAUUCCUUCCCGAAAAUGAGCUUUUAUCAUAAACUGAAUUCCUCCAAUAUGAUCAUAUCCAAUUUUGGGUCUAUUGCUAGAUUUUAUCUUACUGAUUUUAUCUUCUAUAUCAGUCUUUAAUAAUAAUGGUAUAUUUGUAUUUCCCUUAGCAUACCUAAUUUCAAUAUGUUCUUCUCACACAGUAGCACUGAAAUACAUAACAUUUUUUCUUUUAAUCAUGGUGGCAAUUCCUAGAGCUAACUUAUUGACUGAAGUCAAGGAUGAUUCUAAUCAUUUUUUUGUUAAUCUUGAGGUAUUGUUUUUUUUUUUUAUCAAAGAUUAAUUCUUUGUUAAAAGAACCUUGUUCUUCUAAUUCUUCAUCUUGAUAUAAAUGCUUAUUAUCUAAUUCUUCUAUACUCAUUCCAAAUAUGAUUUUGAAUCUGAGCUACUUAAAGUUUCUUCAGAAAGAUAAUAUAUGCUAUCACUUUCACUAAUACCUUCACUAUCUGUGAUUAAUUCUAAAUCAUUAAAAUCCUCAAACAUUUUUAUAUUUUCUUUUUUCUUUUUAGGACAUUCAUUUGUAUAAUGCCCUUCUUCAUUACAUAACCACCACUUGCAUUCUUUAACUACAUUGGUUUUAAAUCUUCUUUUAAAUUUAUUUUUCUUGUAGAAUUUCUUCUUAUAUUUAUUUUUCUUGUAAUAUUUCUUGUUGCCUUUAAAGAAUCUCUUCUUUUUGAAUUUAUUCCUAUAUUUAUAAGUUUUAUCUGAACAUCCAAAUCUUGGUGGAUCUUCUAACUUAGAGCAAAACAAUCCUUGAUUUAGCCUUUUCAUAAGUCUGUUAUCUCUUAUUUCAGCACACCAUUCACUCAUUCUAUUUCGAGCAAACCUAAUCUUAUUUCCUAAGGUAUCAGUCUCUGUUGUAUCUUCAUAUUUGUUGUUAUAUUCUAGCAUAAUCCUUUUCUCCCAUGGGUCUGGUAUCCUUAUAAAAUAUAGAUCUUAGUAAUAGCAUAUGCUACUUUCAUCUAAUUCACAUUUAUAAUAUAAUUCUUCAAAGCUACACGUGUAUUCUUCUAAAUAACAUAUAUUACAUAUUUCAAGCCUUGUUAGUUUUAUUACAUUUUCCAUCUUUUUUUCACUUUAUUUCUUAUUGAAAACCAGUUUCUCAAUCUUCUCCUAGGAAUUUUUUUCUUAUUUCAUUUUCAAAUCUAUUUAAAACUUGAUCCAAGCUUUCAUUUUGAUUAUUAUUUUCUCCAUACAAUAUUUUAUUUUUGUUAUUAUCGUUUAGUCCCAUAAACGAAUGUGACACUAUUCCUACAAAUGAAGUUUUAAGGAAUUCUAUACUAUUAUUCCUAUCUAUUUUGUUAAAUACAAAUGCCGUUUUCAUAGAUUUAACCCAAGCGAUAAUCGUUUUAUCUCUAUCUUUGACAUAGUCUAAAUCUAACCAUACUCCAUCAUGGUUGAUUGGUCUCUCUCUAUAUUUUCCUGGAGUUUUAUAAUUUUUUUAGGCUUGUUAACCCUAAAAUAUUGAUGUUGUGAUCUUUCAUGAGCUAGUAUUUCUUCUCUAGUAUAGGAAGCUCUAUUACUAGAUUCUCCUUGUUAAAAAACCGUUGGUUUUGAUUCAUUCAUUUUUAAUUGUUCUAUUCUAUUUUCAAUAUCUCAUAAGUUAAUGAGUACAUCCUCUUCCUCUUCGGAUUUAGAUUCUUCAUUGGAUAUUUCUGGAUUGUAUAAUUCUUUUAAUCCAUUGUCUACAUUUUCACUUAGCAUCCUUAAACUUAUUAAUUUUUUAUCUUAGUUUUUUGUUAAAUAUUGUCUAGAUAUUGCUAUCAUUUCUUUAUCUUUCUUUUCGUUGUAGUAAAUUAUGGUGUCUUGUAAGGUUUUAUUUUUUUUUCUUGAAUUACCAUGAGUAAUUCUUCCAUAUUGUUAUUUAUCUUUUGUAUUUCAAUCCUUUUGUAGUUUUCUAUGAAAAAUUAUUUCUAUACACCUCUCUCCUAAUUCUAAAUAGGAGAAUAGGAUCGAUGUUUAAAUUUCUAUUCUUUAUUAUUUUGAGUUCUCCAAUUCUAAAUUCAUGAGCUCUAGAUAAAUAAAAUUGUUCUAAUUGUUUAUCAUCUAAUAUCUCAAGUUUUGAAUAAUAAUAUUGUUUAUGUUUAGUUAUGUUAUCCUUUAUAGUAUUACUAUCUACCAUUAGAUUAUAUCCCCUAUUAUUAAUAAAAUAAACAAUUGUUUCUUCCAUUUUUAUAUUUUGAACCAAAAAUCUGGUUCUGAUACCGUUUUUGCAGACAAUUUUCAAUCCUAAGAUCCAAGUAAGGAUGUAAAUGAUUAAUCUUUAAAAUCUUAUGAAUAUUUUACAAUUUUGCUUUUUUAAAACACACAGUUUUAUGCUAGGUGUUGUGCAAUCUUUUGUAAAAAUUCAUGAACCAAUACUAUAUUGACUUCUCCUAAAAUGCAUAGGUUUGUUAUGAAAUUCUAAGUGUACAACCCAAAAAGUGGGGUGAAUUGGGUUUUUAAAAAUUUAAGCAAUUAUAACCACACAAAAAUUUCAAUUAAUGUCUUAUUUGAUUCAAUAACAAUAAUUUUAACAAUGAAUAAAGUAAAGAGAUGAGGGAGAAGAGAGCAAACAUGAGAUUUUUACAUGGUUCAGCAAAACCUGCCUACGUUGACGCCUCCAAGCUCACUAUGCUUGAAGAUUUCACUAUCCAAGCAUUACAACCCUAAGGCUUCAAGAUGCUUACAAUUGAUUUCUAAGGUUUCCAUGGACCUUUACAUCCAGAGGUUCUCUCAAACCUCUUAACCAAGUGUUUCUCACACUUACAACCACUUAAUUGUGAUAUUGAAAAAAAGUUACACAAAUUUUCCACUCACACAAUAUAUGUGUUUACAACUAAAAGCCUAGAGUGUGUUUCAAUGAAAGAAUAAAAACAUUUAAGCUCAAGACAGAUUAAACAUGCAAAAGUAAGCUCAAUGCCAAUUUUUGAAUUCGUUAUUGAUUGAAUAUGAUUAAUCCUUUUGAUAGUUGGAGCUGAAAACUAGCCGUUAUUGACUUUCUGCACAAGGUCGGAUCAUCGUUAAUACUUAUCGGACUGCUGUUUUGACUUGAUCAAGUUACCGUUAGGCGAAAAUCUAAAUUUUCGGAUCACCAUUUUCGAGACAUUGAAUUGUUGUUAGUUUCUAGUAACAUUGCGAGAAAAUAGUUGGCUUACCGUUUUCAAAAUGUCAUAUCGUCGUUAGUUUCCAAAUCCAUUCGAUGUCGGUUAGCCAUUUGCUACAUUAACUGCUACAUUGAAACUAUUUUUUAAAAUUAUAUUUUUGCCAUGCUUUCUAUAAUUAUACUGUAGCCCAAAUCUUCAUAAUACUUUACAAAUAGGUCCAUUUUCAGAGUUUCAAAACAUACUUUUUAUUUCCAAAACUUUAUGAAAUUAUACUAUAACCCAAAAAUAUAUAAAAUAUUUCAAAUAGGUUCAUUUCUAGAAUUUUAAAACAAUACUUGUUGAUUUCAAAGUUCUCAAAACUUUUUAAAUUUAGAGCAUUAACUUCAAAAUAACCAAUUUCAUAAAAUCAUUUUUUUCAUUAAGAUUUAUGAAAAAUGACUUGAGCUUUUAAAUGCUUAAGCAUGCAUAUAUUUAAUCAUACUAGCUUUACAAGAAAUGUAACAAGAGAAAUCACCUAAGCUAGUACCUCUAAUGCUUGUUCUUGACUUAGUGAGCUUUUUACCUUCGUCUAUUUGAGUGCCUUGAACUUGAUCACACACACACACACACACACACACACACACACACACACACACAUAUAUAUAUAUAUAUAUAUAUAUAUAUAUAUAUAUAUAUAUAUCAUUUUAUCCUUUUAUCCUUAACACGUGGUUUGUUAUUAUCAAAACCCAAGUUCGUACAACCGCUUAGGCCAACAUGUUACUCCCAAUCAAUUGACUUCUGACAUGACUACUUCCAAAAUGGCUAGUACCAAAAGGGAAUCCUUCUGGGAUGAGAAUUGAAAAACAUGCCUCUUCUAGCACUAAAAUUACUCCUUCCACCUAUAUUUCCACUAUAAUGUCCUUAAAAUCCUCCGGCAUAUCCACCUCUUUUAGUAUUGCCUCCUAUUUGUGCAUGAUAGUAAUUAAUUAUGCCAUAGUUAUUAUGGUUAGCAAAGUUAGCACAAUUUGCAUUGAAUAUGUGUUUUUCAUUAUGACUUUGUUCAAGUCUUGCCUCUUGAGUAAGCAAUAGAGCAUACGCACCAUCAUAAUAUAACUUGCUAGCAGUAAUAAAAGUAGAUAAAUGCAGAUGGCUAGCUCCAAAACUAUUGAGAAUUUGUUAAACAUAUCUUUAUCAGAAAUAGGACUACCAACACAUGUCAAUUUAUCUGCUAUUUAUUUAAUCUUUAAGCAAUACUCUUCUAUGCUUAGUGACUUUUUUUCUCAAAGCAUUCAUCUCAUAUCUCAUUUGAAGAAUCCUACCCUCAUAAUGUUGCCUAAACUUUUUCUGUAAUGUUUUUCAUACAUCAAGUAAGGUGUUAUAAGAAUGAACAAGACCGAGAAUACCUUCAGUGAUAGAGCUGAGUAACUAGCUAAGUAAUGUGUGAUCUUGAGAUCUCCAAACAAUGAACUCAGGAUUUUCAAUCUGUUAAGUAGAUGCAGCAACUGCUCUAGCAUAGCUGAUGAAUCAAUGAAUUGAUUUGGUGCUUCAUUUUCUCUAGUUAUGUAUCCUUCGGUUUCCUCUUAUAAAAGCUAGAACUUGAUUUUGCCACAGCAUGUAAUUUGAUCAAUCGAAUGUGAUUGGAGUGAUGAAACAGAAUGUUGUUUGCAUUGAUUGAUUUGUAGAGAUUGCAAUUGAAUUUGUGCUUACAUUGCUUGAGCUUGCCAUUUUGGCUCAGAUACCAUGAAUAAAUUAUUGGAAGUUGAGUUAUAGUUGCUGUUUAACAGCUGAGAAAAUAGAGGAAAAUUCUCUGGAAAUUCUAAAUGUUUCCUAUUGAGCAAACGAAAGAUUAACAUACUAUAUAUAUACAAGUUUCUAAAUUGUUUCUAGCUAAUUUACAGUACAGCUAAUCAAUAGAUUUGAUCCAAAGUAAAACUAAUUAGUUUCACACAUAAGGAGCACGUGAAUCCAUCAUCGUUGCAUAAUCGAACAUGUUGACUUAGCUGCUGACUUGGCAUUGACAGCUGAUUUGCUUCUUUUUUGUAACUCUGGAUAGUGUGCUUUCUUCACAAGUUUCCCCAAAUCUCCAUUAUGUACAGCUUCUGCAAAAAUUUCCUAACCAAACCAUUUAUUUGUAAUUUCCUCUUGUGUUGGCCCUAUGCCAUCAUCAAGUGGUACCGUGAGAGGAUUUCCAUCUAGAUUACCCUGAUCUUUGUCUGAAUCAUAACUAGUAUGCAUAGUGUUUUCAUCCUCAUCACCCUGCGCAGCCAAAACAAAAUGCUUAACAUUACAUAUACAGUAAAACCUCUCUAUAGUCAUAUUGUUGGGAUUAAACUAAUUUUAUUAAUAUGAAGAUGUUAUAAACUUAAUGGAAAUUCAGUGACAAAUCUAUUGAUUAGCUGUGCUACUUUGAUAAUUAAUUAAUGAAGCAUGUCAAAUCUAAUGCAUUGACAUUGAUAAAAGAGGUAAACAUAUAAUUUAAAAAACUAGUACUUAUAUCUAUCAUCUGUGUAGUAUUGGGAACAUGCAAAGUCUUCUUAUUGAAAAUCUAAAGAAUAAAUUAUUAUCCAAAAUAAUUUCAGAAAAAUAUUAUAUUUCAUCUUAAAUCUUUCAUGUAACAUAGCAAAUUUUUUUUUUUUUUGCUCAAUAUACAUAUUAGUAAUACUGUGUGGAUGCGUGUUCCUUAAGAUAUGCUCUAUAAAAGUUGUUAACUUAUUACAAUGUGAAGUUUGUUCUUAUUUAUAAUUGGCUUAAAGCAGGAAUAAGAUUUUUUGUGACUAUUGGACGUUGUUCUUAUAAAAUGUAUCACUACAGAGAGAUUUUAUUAUAAUUCUAAACCGAGAAAAGAAAGUGUAAUCCUAAUAAAUCACCAUCGAUUAGAGCUAUAAUGAAUUAAGCUUUACAAAGAAGAAGAAGAAAGAUUACAAUGUGAAGGCAACAAGAAUCAUGACAAAGUGAGAAAAAGAGAGGCCACAUAAGCCCCAAGGGAAAUUGAGAUUUUAUAACACAGCCUAAUUGCAGAAAGCAUAGGCGAAAAACAGGUGCUUGAUUGCAAACAUGCACACGCGCGCGCGCACACACAAUUUGACCACAAAGACCGCAUACCUUUGAGAGUUGGUCCUCUGGGGCAUAGGCAUUUUUCGCACGUUUUCGUGCUUCCUCCUUUUAUGGCCACGUAGUUUUCGUAAGCUUGAUCAAGAAACUCCUCCAAUUGUUCAUCAUACCUAACACCAAAAAAAUGUCAUAAGAUCACAAAGGCAUAAGUUGAUAGAUAUAUUUGUCAAGAUAAUGCGACAGAAGAUAUAGGUAGAAAAGAAUUACUUUCUGCAUUCUUUAUCAGAGUCACUGUCACUGGACAAUUGCUCUUGAGUGUCUCUAUCGGGUCUCUCAUCUUCACAGCCCUCUGCAGUAGCAUUCUCAUCAUCAUCAUCAUAUUCAACAGCAGCAAGAUCUUUUUUACCCUAAACCGAUCAUUCAAGUUUAUAAAAGAAUGAGAUACUUGCCUUAGACCACACUUUUGAAUUGGAAAAAACUAAUAAAUCAAAAUUGCAACUAAUAUUGUCCUACCCAGCCAUUUUUCAUUUAUCCUGAUGUCAAGUACACUACAAUCGAUGAGUACCUCAGUCAGUUUGCGUAACCCUUCUCUGUUGAGUUGUAGCUUGCAGGAUAUUGGGAAAUAAAUAAUUGGCUUGUUGCCAUCUUUGGUUUGUAUCUGUAAACAUUAUGGUUGUUGGCCUUACCUUCUUUUGGUUUUCUAUGGAAUUUGUAGCACCAUAUUUUGUCCACUAUGUCAGUACACCAGUGAUUAAACAAAGUAGUCUCAUGUGCUUGAUCUAAAAAUAAUUAUAAAGUCACCAUGUGGUUGAUCUAAAGAUAAUUAUAAAGUCACAAACACAGAAAAAUUAAAAGUAAUUCAUAAACAUUUGUCAUGUGAAAUUUACUUAAUGGAAGAGAAAUUCUAGGAAACAACUUUAUGGUGAGAAAACUCUAAAAAUCAAACCGAAAGAUAUAUAAUAAAUAAUUUUAUAAGAAUUAGGCUAUGUUUCAAAUAAUAUCACAUAUAGUAAAUUUAUGAGUUGUCGCUCAUCAUAACUCAAUUGUUUCACAUAUUGUAAUUCUUUAAUUUUGAAUAACAACAUAUGUUUCAUAAGAUUUAAAAUGGUAUGACUCAUUUUAUAAUAUUUUUAACUGAAUUGAAAUUCUGCAACUAUAAAAAUUGAAAAGAAUGAACUUGGCGGUAUUACGCUUAUAGUAUUGUUUCUUAUGGUGAACCAAAAGCAAGCCAAAAUUACGCUUACAUCAUCUUACUCUACCGUAAAACUUAUUUAUAAUCAUAACGGUAACACUAAAUUAAUUUUAUUACUGUGAGAGUUUAAUAUUUAAUAGAGGUGUAGUUACAAAAAUUAUUAUUUUAACUUAAUUAUUUUUUGUGCAAGUGAUAUAGCGAUAAAAUAUGCACUAUAUUAAUAACUAAUUAAUACAGCAUGUCAAAUUCAAUGUACUAACAAUGAUGAAAAAGAUAGGCAUAGUUUGAAAAAAACUAGUACAUAUAUCUUUAUAGUGCUGGAAUUAUGUAAAAUCAUCUUGAAAGUCUAAAGAAUAAAUGAUUGUACAAAAUAAUUUUAGAAAAAUAUUUUACUUCAUCUUAAACCUUUAACAUAAUAAGGGAUAUAUUUUUUACAAUAUACCGAUAAUUAUUACUAUUAGAGGUAACUUUCUUAAAACCGGAUUUAAAAAAAUUAUAAUUUAUCAUAAUAUAGAGUUUAUUCUUAUUUAUAAUUAUUAGGCUUGAUAAUCGACUGGGUCGUGUUUGGGCCAUGCCAAGCUCUAGCCCAACUAGGGGUGGCAAAACGAAUAAACGAAUCGAAUUUGAAUCGAAUCGUAAACGAAUUGGGUCAAAAUUAUAUGGAUUCGGAUUCGAUUCGUUUAUUAAACGAAUUGAAAUUUCAGGAUUCAGAUUCGAUUCGGUUAUUAAACAAAUAUUCGGUUCAAUUCGUUUAAUUCGUUUAAUAGAAUUGAUAAACGAAUCGAAUCGAAUCCGGAUUCGUUUAUUAUUCGCUUAUCCUUUACGAAUCCAUAACGAAUCGAAUCGAAUCAGGAUUCGUUUACAAUUCAUUUAGAAAAAUAUAAUUAAUAAACAAAAUUAAGCAAAAAAAACACAAAUUUAAUAUCCCACAACAAAAUACAAAUAAUUCAAAUCAUAUUAUACAGUCAUCCAAAUACUAAAUUACAAAUCCUUAAUAUUACAAAUAACAAUAAUUCAAAUUCAAAUUAUAAAGAAAUGUAAUUUCUUUAAUUCUCUUCAUUUGUCUUUGUCGCCUUGAAAACAAAAAUCCUACACCAAAAAGUAAAUAAAAUGUUAUUAACAUGCUGCAAUAUUGAUAAUAGUCAUUGUAAAAUUUCAAAAAUCAAAUAUAUAGCAAAUUUGUAGCAUUUUCAAGAAAAUAAUAAUUAAACAAGAUAAAAACUUUACCUACCACACUCACACACUGUCAUUUGGAUCAUUGGCACUCUCUGCAGAUGGAGCACAAUUAGUGCUCAUGUUCAUAAUGUUUUGAGUAAGUUGGUCCACAGUGACAUCCAAAUUUUCUACAAUAAUUUUAUAAAAAUAAAUCUUAAUUAGAAACAAUUGCACAUAAUAUUAUAAAAGAAAAGUAAAUAAAUUUUAUGAGCAAGUUUUACCAAUCUCUCCAAACUUCCAAUCUCUAGUAGUAAUAAUUGCUUGAACUAUCUCUAGUAGUAAUAAUUACUUGAACUGUCUCUGGCUUCAAUACACUUCAAAAUUGAUCAAGAACUCAACCGCCAAACAACAACAAAACAACAGUAAAACAGCAACAAAAUAGCAGCAAAAUAGUAGUAAAACAACAACAAAAUAUCAGUAAAAUAGCAGUAAAACAACAACAAAAUAGUGGAAAAAUAACAAAAAAAAUGGUAGCGAAACAGCAGCCAAACAACAGCAGUAAAACAGCAGCGAAACAGCAGUAAAACGACAGUAAAAUAGCAGUAAAUCAGCAACAAAACAACAGCAAAACAGUAAUAAAACAGCAACAAAACAGCAACAAAACAACAGCAAAACGGUAAUAAAACAGCAAUAAAAGGCAAAUUUUCAGUGGUGUACCGUGAUGGUGGGUAGUUAGCGCGGCGGGAAGUGGUGCUGGGGAUGAAAACCUUCAAAUUUUAAAAAGCUUUCAAAUAAAUUUAAGGAUAAAAAAGUAAUUUAAUUAAACGAAUAAUAAACUAAUCGACCCGUAUUCGAUUGGUUUAUGACCGAUUUAUUAAACGAAUAAACGAAUCAAAAUUUUCAAACCUGCAUUCGAUUCGUUUAAUUAACGAAUCGAAUCGAAUUCACCCAUUUAUUAAACGAAUCAAUUUUUUCAAACUCAAACCCAUUUAAUUUGCAUCGAAUCGAAUCAAAUAAACGAAUCCUGACCCAUAUUGCCACCCCUGCCCAACCCUAUGAUUAAAAUGAAGGACUCUAAUACUAAAAAGCUUGACCCUUCAAACUAAAGAACAACCUGGCUUUAAUAAUUUUUUUAUAUUUUAUUUUUUUUUUUAAGAAUAUGACUCCUAUUCUUCAUUCUUUAGUAAUAUUAUUAUUAUUAUUAUUGUUCCUUUUUUUUGUUGGAUUUGUUUGUAAGGAAUUUAAUAAAUUAUUUUUUAUUUAACUUAACAACAAUAGAACGUUUAACAAUCUAACAAAAUUAAUAUAUUAACCAAGCAAUAGGUAAAUAAAUCAAAUACAAAAUAACAAAAUUAAUAUGAAAUAGAGAUAAAUAUCCCUAAAGUGUAGUUGUGACCAUCUAUGUGUAUGUGUGUUUAAUAAUAUUUUUAUUUUAAAAAUUAAUUUAAAGAUCAAGAGUUGAGUUAAAACAUUUUGGUAAAACUUUAACCCUAACCCAAAUGUAAUUAGGUCCUGAUUCCUUAAGCCCUAACCCAACGUUUAACCUUUCAAAUUCGAGUCAAAACCAUUAAAAUUAAGAUCGAAUCAAUCAAGUCGAGGGUCGGAUAAAACCUUUUUGUCAUCCUAAAAAUUACCCUAAAUUAAAAUCAAAAUUUUUUAAAAUUAUAUAAAAAUUAUUCUUAUACACAGUAACAAUAUACGACCCAACAAGAAAUGAACCUGGACGCAUUAGGGCUUUGAUCCACAAACAAACUUUCAAAACCCUCUUAGACCUCAAGAGCAUUUUAGUCCAUUUAAUCAAAAGUAAAAGUGCGGCUACCAGCUAACUCUCCGGAAUUGAACUGAACGAGUUUCAGAAAUGGCAUCGAAAAGCAAGAUUCUAUCCAUCGGCGGGACAGGGUAUAUCGGUAAAUUCAUCGUGGAAGCUAGCGUGAAAGCCGGCCACCCGACGUUCGUGCUCGUGAGGGAAUCCACAGUCUCUGGUCCUUCCAAAUCUCAGCUCCUCGACCACUUCAAAAACCUCGGCGUCAAUUUCCUUGUCGUGAGUUAUCAAUUUUUUUUUUCAUUUUUUUAAUUCCAAAUUUUGACACGUGGCGGUGUAGCCUCUACUUGAUAGACUUGGUUUUUUUUUUUAAUUUAAUUUUUGUGGGUGCUGUUAUUAUUAUGCAGGGAGAUGUUUUGAAUCACGAGAGUUUGGUGAAGGCGAUAAAACAAGUGGACGUGGUGAUAUCAACAGUUGGUCACACUUUAAUAGCCGAUCAGGUCAAGAUUAUUGCUGCCAUUAAAGAAGCCGGUAACGUUAAGGUAUGACAUAAUUAAUGUAAAUGUCUUAGAUUCCGAUCAGGAUUGUGCACUCGUGCACACGUGGUGAUUUAUUCUUCGUGUGGAGCUCGCUGUAGAGUAGAGCUCCCAGUUCCGCUAAUAAACACCCGUCACAUGCGCAAUUGCGCCUCAAAAUAAUUUAAUUAAUUAAUUAGGUAUAAACACCGAUGGCAUGAAAGCAAUUAAAAUUAGUUGAUGUUUAUAAAUUAUUUAUUACUCAGAGAUUCUUCCCAUCGGAAUUUGGAAAUGAUGUUGAUCGAGUCCAUGGCGCCGUGGAGCCAACAAAAUCGACGUAUGACGUAAAGGCGAACAUCCGCCGAGCCGUUGAGGCAGAAGGCAUUCCGUACACGUACGUAGAAUCUUAUUUUUUUGAUGGCUACUUCCUCCCUAAUUUGUUGCAGCCUGGGGCCACUGCCCCCCCUAGGGAUAAGGUUGUCAUCUUCGGCGAUGGAAAUCCAAAAGGUAACAUAAUUUAAUUAAGCUCUGUUUGUUUGGUAUGUAUUUCGGUGUUAAUGUUAUUGUCUGUUGUACAAUGGAUGGUCUUGCUUGGUACUGUUGUUGGAGAGCUGCAGUGUUUUGAUAAACACCUCUAUCCUUAGCUUUCAAGUUAAGUUGAUUUUAUACAACACUUGUUUAAUUAAAAACUUGUAAUAUUCUUACUACUUUGAUAAAAAAAAUAUUACGAUUAAAGUAUUAAUGGCACCAUAAUACGAAGUGAAUCUUAAGUGGUCAUUAUAGAUUUUAAGAUAGAGUUUUAAGUGAUUACCAGAUACUUUAGCUGCUGAACCGCCACAUCAUGGUUGCCACACAACAAUUUCAAACAGAGCCUAAAUAACUUCAUUGCAAAACAGUUAAAUGAAUCUAACUUAGUUUCGUCGUUUGAUUUUCAGCUGUUUUUAACAAGGAAGAUGAUAUUGGAACCUACACUAUCAAAGCGGUUGAUGAUCCGAGAACCUUGAACAAAAACUUUUACAUUCAGCCUCCCGGUAAUAUUUACUCAUUCAAUGAUCUUGUGUCUCUGUGGGAGAGAAAGAUUGGUAAAACCCUCGAAAAGGAGUAUGUUUCAGAGGAGCAGCUCCUAAAGAAUAUUCAAGGUUGGUUAAAACUCUCUUUUUUAAAUGUAUUAAAGAGAGCCGUAUAUUCUCUGCCGUAAAUGUUAUUGAUCCUGUCUUCUCCAAAAUGUUGCAGAAGCUGCAUCUCCACACAAUUUUAUAUUAUCAAUUUAUCACUCUGCUUUCGUGAAGGGAGUUCAAACUAACUUCAAGAUUGAACCAUCUUUUGGAGUUGAAGCCUCGCAGCUUUAUCCUGAUGUCAAGUACACUACAGUUGAUGAGUACCUCAAUCAGUUUGUGUAACCCUUCUCUGUUUCCAGCUGCAGCUUGCAGGAUCUUGGACUGUUGGUAAAUAAAUAAUUGGCUUGUUGCCAUCUUUGGUUUUAUAUGUAAAAAUUAUGGUUGUUGGCCUUACUUUCUUCUGGUUGUCCAUGGAAUUUGUUAGACCAUAUUAUGUUUGCUAUGUCAGUGAUCAAAUGAAGUAGGCCAUGUACUUGAUUUGAGAGUAGUAGUUAUAAAGCCAUCAUGAUCAGGUGGGUGCGUAGGUUGGGCUUCUAUUAGGGUGCGUGUGUUGGGCUUCAGGGGCUUGUGAUAUGGGUUCGACAGCCCCUAACGGGCAGUCAUUAUAAAAAUAAUUAUAGAGUUACAAAUCUAUGUAAAAAGCAAAAAUUAAAAGUAAUUUAUCAAUAAAAAUAAUUAAAAUUAAUAAAAAGUAGGUAUGAUAAUUCAGAAAUUAAAUUAAAGAUAGAAUUCUAAAGAGUUGGAUAAUCCUCCAACUAAACUAAAGAUCUAGUACUUUUGAGAGCAAAUUUAAUUAAAGAAAAGGAUAAGGAAAAACAAUAGAAUAAUAAUAUUAAAAAAUUGCAAAUCUUGGUCUUUUUUUUUUACGAUGAUGUUGAAUUCUUAUAAAUUUAAUCUUAUCUAUAGAAUUAUUUAGUUACUGUAUGUCAAAAUUUCCUAUAAAGAUGAAGAAAAAUUAUAUUAGGAGAAGAUCCAAAUCCGUUUAACUGAUGCAUCAUCGACAACAUGAGUACAACAUUUUCGAAUAAACAAAAGAAACUCGUUUUAUGUGUGAACCAGUUCCAAAAUAAAGAGCAGACUAUUGGAAGGAGACAAAUACUACAAGAAGAACAAAACAUUCUACAAUUCCUACAUGAGCCCGCAACAAUUAAUUAUUAACUCGACAUUCAUUACACUUUUUCUUUAAUUUGACAAAGAAACCAAAAAUAAGAUAAAAUUGACUAAGAAAUAAAAAAAUGACAAAAAUCUUUUUGAAGUUUUGCCAGUUCAGCCAUGCACGCUUAUCUUUAUUCACUUGUUUCCUUUCUUUCCUUUCUUUCCUUUCUUUCCUUUCUUUGCUGAAGCCUUCACAGAUCCUUUACCUUUCUGAGCCUUGCCAAUUUUCCCCUUCUUCAAACCACCUGGCCUUGCUGGAUCCACGUGUCCUUGCAUCCUUUUUCAUUCGUGGAUCAACAAGAAUCUCCCCCUUUCCAGCUCUCUCUUGAACUCCUUGCUUUGCGACCAUGUAUUCUUUGGUAGGCCUUUUGGGUAUAGUUGUCUUGUAUAAUUGUUCAAUUUGAUUCCUCUUCGAACGAUCAGAGAUGUCCGCUUAGUCUGAUAUGACAUUUGCCUUCUUGCGAACCUUCUCAAGAUUUCGCAUGGCAACCCGUAUCUUUCGAGCUUUGGUCUUAGCCACCUUCUUGGCAGUAUGGGUGGGCGAUUCGAUUUUGGGAUAAACUUUUGGUUUCGUAUCGGUUUAGAUUAAAAAAUAAUAUAAAAAAAUAUUUAGAUUUUAAGGGAAAAAAUCCGAACCGAGACUCACCUAUCGAUUUUGGCUCGGUUUCAGUUCAGUUUUGAUUCUCCUAAUAGUUUUAUUUUGCCUUAUUGACUUCCGGUCAAUGACACUUUUGAAAAAUUUACAAAAAAAAAAAAAAUGGCCAUAACAAAAUUUCUAAAUGCAAAUAUUUCCUAAACAUUAGGCUAUACUAAAUUUUUUUAAAAGGUAGGGAUCCAAACGAUAUUAUCCCUCUACUUCAUCUUCAACCUUCGUCACUAGGGAUGGCAAAAUUCAGGUUCGGGUUCGGGUCCGGGUUUAGCCAUUCGGGAUCCGGACCCGGAUGAAUAUUUUCUGUAUCGGACCCGAAAAUAAACCCGCAUUUUUCCACUCCGAGUCUGGUACGGGUUCAACCCGAAAAAAUUCGGGUUCCCAGACUGCGGGUUUCCAACCCGAAUUGAUGAAUCCAAUUGAAAAAAAAAAACUAAAUUCAACUAAAAAAAUCAAAUAGAAAUACAUAUCCAGGAUUUUAGCAAAUCAAAGAAAAAUUAUUUCAUCUGGAAACUAAUUAACAAAAACAACAAUUUUGUUUGGCUGCCCAGAAUCAGCAACCCAAUGUGGCGGCUCGUUCAAAACAUUAGUGUUUUCAACAGAUUUUGGGGUAGGAAAAGCCAAACCUAUCUAGAACAAUGAAUUUGUAUUUUUGGGGGAGAUGAGAUACCUCACUGGUUUGUUGUGUGCGGUGCAGUGUAUCUGAAAUUUGGGGGAUGUGAGAAGGGGAGAGGGAGUGGUAACAAUGGUGAAAGGUCAAAACCAAUAGAGAUGUCCUUCAAAAUGAGCUUCACACCUGUAAAACAGUGAAAUAAAGGUUAGAGGUGAAGCCGGGAUACCCCGGUGUUCACACUCCGAUGCUCAAGUUAGCAAACUCAAGCUUUUAUGACAAAGAGAACUGGCUAGCCCUCUGUAAAUUAGGGUUUAAGGUUCAAGGAAACCUAUUUUUUGGAAUGUGAGUGUUAAUGGUGAGUGAGAGACCUCUUCGAGAAUGAAACAUAGGCGCCUUUAUAUAUGGAGUACCUCAGCUGCCACAUGACGUACCCUUUUUUGGCUAACGUCAUUUUUCCUUUUUAUGAUUUUUGGGUCGUUAUGUGCAUGUUCGCGGGGUAUCUCAUCUUUUGGAAACGUGGCGCGCGCUGGAGAGUGGUCCAGGGUACCUCUGCAGUAGCUGUCGGGUAGGCAGCUGAAGACCACUGUCCUUGGGACAAUGUCCUUCACUUUUGGUAAAGGUGACAGGCGGUUGUCCCCCUUUUUAACACGACAUUUUUUAUUCCUAAUUAUGACAAAAUCGAAUAAUAUCUUUUAAGAGAUGGAGACGUUUCUCAUGGUGGAUAUUUUCAGAGGAUUCUCUUGCAUCUGAUCAGCCGGGUUCCUCCAGUUAUGCAGGGUACCUCUAAUUUUACGGGGUACCUCUAUUUGCGCAGGGUACCUUGAAUCAUGCUAGGUACCUUAGAUUAUGCGGGGUACCUCAUAUUGUGUGGGGUACCUCUAAUUGUGCGGGAUACCUCUAUUUGCGCUAGGUACCUUGAAUCAUGCUGGGUACCUCAGAUUGUGCGGGGUACCUCUAUUUGUGCAGGGUACCUUGAAUCAUGCUGGGCACCUCAGAUUGUGCGGGGUACCUUUAGUCAUGCGAGGUACUUUUAAUCAGGCCAGGUACCCUCUAAUUGUGCUGAGUACCUCUAAUCAUGCAGGGUACCUCUAAUCAUGCGGGGUACCUCUAAUCAGGCCGGGUACCUCAGAUUGUGCGGGGUACCUCUAUUUGCGCAGGGUACCUUGAAUCAUGCCGGGUAUCUCAGAUUGUGCGGGGUACCUCAAAUUGUGUGGGGUACCUCUAAUCGUGCGGGGUACCUCUAAUCAUGUCGGGUACCUCGGAUUGCACUGAAAUUAUUCCAUUCGUUGACACGUGGCGUUAUGCUAUCUUUCUUAUUUUUCCCCCAAACAACAUCCCUCUAGUUUCUUUUGGCAAGAAGUUUUGGAGGCAAAAGAAACUUACAUAAAAAGUAGGAGCGACACGUGGCGAUAUGAUGUUUAGCUCGAUGGAUAACUAAAUAGAGGGCGCCUCUAGGGGUACCCUGAGAACCCAAAAAGGGAAGAUGGGCUCCAUUUCCUCGGAAAUGGCUACCACUUUGGACAUGUUGGAAAUGAUAGAGCUAAUUGAUCAAAAAAAUUUCAUCUAUUUCUGGGGAAGAACACCAAAUACGGGUAGAGGGUAUCGUUAGGGUACCCCACCAUUAUCCAUAGUUUGUUUUCUAGUGACUGCCAUGUAUAAAUCGCUCUGGUGAAGGCUUCAAUACAUUCUUUGGGCAUUUAAGAAGCAAUUAUUUGAUUAUCUCGGGAUCCACCUUAUUUAAGGGUAUAUUUCCUUCAUGUGCUUCGAAGAAAAAAAUAAAAUCACAGGGCCUUCUUCCUUGUAACUUCAGAGGUACCAUCGACAGAAGAACAUAGUCGACAAUGCUUUUAAGCGUAUCAUGAUCGAGGAAUGGAGUGCUGAUCUGGGGUUGGUGGUGCCAAGAGUGGAGAAGAUGGUAGAUGAACCGGCUAUCUUGAAGGCGAUUAAUGAUAGCGGGGCUCCCAACACAUCUUGGUCUGAAAGCCCAUUGAGAUCAGCUGAGGUACCUCAGAUGAGGUAUCUAUAAGGUACCCCUGAUACUAACCCUUGUGUUUUUGCUACUUUUAGCACUUUAUUGAUCCCUUCAUCCUAAGGGAUGAAGUUGAAGAUAAAUAUCCUGUUGUAUAACCUUGUUCGACAUUACUGACAAGAUGUAUGGGGUACCUUGUUAGCCUAUAUGGCUAUAAAUAUUGAUUUUGAUGAUAACAAACCACAUGUAUUUAUUGAGUAAAGAUUUAUGAAUUGUGCUUUUAUAAUGAGAAAAUGAUGUUAUGGAAUUAAAUCUUUUUGAACUAAAAUGAAAGUAAUUUUAAAAUCUUUGAUAGUAUUUUAAAUUUCGGAUUUGUACAUAUUUGAAACUAUUUAAAUGUUUUUAGGUCAUUUUGUAAUUUCACAAAGUUUGGGCGAAGUCAUAAUUUCAUAAAGUUGUGGGAUUGAGAAAGCAUUAUCUAAAAUUAUGAAAUUGGACAUAUUUGCAAACGUUUAUAACGUUUUGGGCCAUACCACAGUUUUAUAAAGUUUUAGGGUCAAAUUGAAAAUAUUAGAAAAUUUUCACUGUAGCAGGUUACUGUAGCAAGCAGCUUACCGGAUUCAGAAAAUCAGAAAUCCGGAUUCGAGGCAGUAAGCAUCCAGAACCAAAACGGCUUACCGGAUUCCUGAAUCCGGCAAACCGGUUAGGCAAAAUUUUGAAUUUUGCCUUAACGGUAACAUAAAUCCGGCUUACCGAAUUCUAUAAAAUGGCAAACUGGAUAGCCUAGAAUGUGAGUAACGGCUAGUUUUCGAGCUCAAGCUAUAAGAACUCAAAUCCAACUCAUUUUGAAGCUCUCCAACAAGCAAGAACAAAAAGCACACGUGAUAUCUUGAGCCUUCAACUUGUAAAACACAAUUCAUUGAAUCAUUCAUUGUUCUUCAUCUUUGAAUAUCUACUCAUUGAGUGAGUUUCAUUGUAUCUUUCAUUUCUUCAAUUCAUUUGUAAGAGUUUGAGUGUGUGAGACACUUGAGUGAAGAGAUUGGGAGAUAAUCUCUUUGUUGUAAAGGUUUAUUGACACCUCGAAGUCAAUUGUAAUCGUUGAAGCCUUGGAAAGGCUUGGAUAGUGAAAUCCUCGAGCUUGGAUCGCUUGGAGGCGUGGACGUAGGCGGGGAUUACCGAACCACGUAAAAAUUCGUGUGUUUGUUUCUCUUCUCCCUUACUCUUUAAUUAUUGUACCAUUAUUGAACUUAUUACUUUCAAUUAUUGUUAAGACAUUAGAUUGCUUGUUGUGUGGAUUUGUUAGGAUAAUUUUUAAAAAUCCAAUUCACCCCCCUCUUGGGUUGCACACUUGUAUUUCAUACCUCAUGUACCCUAAUGCUUGGAUAUCCCUUGAGCUAUCUGUUACUUCAUGGCGGAAUAACCCAAUUGCAUCAAACAUAUGGCGAUUCUUCCAGAUAUGCUUGUCGCUUAUCUUAAGCUUUCUUAGGGUUCCUCCUGGUGUAUCUGAGGAAUAGCUUUCUGGCGUGGGGUACCCUUAAUCAGCGUAUGGUGAUUUUCAUAGAAAUGCUUGCCGCAAAUCUUCACAAAACUUGUUGCGGUUGCUUUUGAGAGAUUGUGCGGGGUACCUUGAAUCAUGCCGGGUAUCUCAGAUUGUGCGGGGUACCUCAAAUUGUAUGGGGUACCUCUAAUCGUGCGGGGUACCUCUAAUCAUGUCGGGUACCUCGGAUUGCAGUGAAGUUAUUCCAUUCGUUGACACGUGGCGUUCUGCUAUCUUUCCUAUUUUCCCCCAAACAAUUAGUAAAGAGAGCUAAAGAACUAGCUUUAGUUACGAGCAGAAAAUCAGAAGUCAAGGAGCAGCCAAAGCACUUUUAAUGGUGAUGGUAAAACUAGAGAGGUAAUGCAAAUAAGUUUACGUUGAUUGGAUAUUCAGAAGAAGUAAUACGCCAUUAAAAGCAACAAGUUUUCCAAAAAGCCAACAAAGACAGAGACCACCACACCACCCCGCACUGGAUGAAAAACGAUGAAAGCAUGAUAAGUGGCAUCGAGUAAGCCACGUUCUCUCUCUCUCUCUCUCUCACUCGCACUCGCACUCGCACUCGCACACACUGUUACUAAAAUGACCAAAAAUAAGAUUCCCAUCAAAAUAUUUUCGAGUAUCGUUCUUGAAAGUGGCGGCGGCUGAUGAUGAUGAACACAGCCGCGAUUGCGAUUGGCGAAGGCGGCGUUCUGCCCGUAUCACAGCUAGUUAUCGGUCGCGGCAGAAAAGAUAAUGAAACGACGGCUGAUGAUGAUGAUGAUGAUGUUGAACAGCCGCGAAUAUGGGUAAGUGAUGCGACGAUGAUUUGAUUUGAUGAAGAUGAGCUGAACAUGGAAUAAGAGAGGAAAUGUUUGUGCGGCUGGGAAAGUGUAAUGAACUGCUAGGGCACCAUUUGGGUUUUUUUGCUUUCCUAUUUAUAUUAAAAAUAAUUUUUAAAAAUUAAUAUAUAUCCGGGUUCGGGUUUUGGAUGUACGGGUUUACCUAGACCCGGACACAUGCGGAUUCAGCAGCACCGACCACCCACAGACUUGGAUUUGAUUACAAAGUUGGGACUUAGGAUUUGGGUUUGUGGCUGCCGAAACAGAAAGUGAGAGAGUAGAAAGUAGAGACUGAGAGUGGUGCAAACAUGUGUAAUUUUGUGUGUGUGUCUAUAUAUAUAUAAUGUGAAAUUACAAAAAUGCCAUUAUAUCAGUUCAAUUCGAAUUUUGUAACUUGUGAUCCGAAAACUGAACCAAACCGAACCAUUUGGUUUGGUAUUUAUAUAUUCAGGUUUUUAAUUUAAAAAAACUAAAUUGAAAUUGAAAGAACUAAACCGAACCGAAUUUUUUUUUUUUUUGUUUCGAUUCAAUUAUGCCCAUCCCUACUUAGUAGGCUGGGUAUCAAUUUCUUUGAAUUGUGCUUUCAUUGCAGUAAUCUCCUCCUUGGUAAUAGGUUUAAUUGCUUGCUGAUGCCACCUUUCCUCUAGUAACAACUAGUCUAACAAGCCAUCAUCGUCAAACAUGUACCUAUUAUAAGCAUCAUCCAGAAUUUGCUCUCUUUGCUUUUUGCUUAGUGUCUUCUUUGCACAAGCUAUUAUCUUAGCUUUUGUAUCAAUAUCUUUAUCUUUUGAUUCACCAGAGGAUGAAUCAUCACCGGAAUAGAGUGGUGAAGGCCCCAUAGAUUAGUGUGAUCAAGUUCUAGUGUAGUUUUGGUUUUGAUUUCAGUAUUAGGAAAAUGAAGCCUAUGAAAUUUACCAAGCUAACAUGCUUCACAAAAGUGCUUUAAUACUUGACUAUGAAUACUUGAAGAGGAUAAAUGAGGAUAAAUAAAUUUAAAUAUACAUUAGAUUUUGAGGGUUGGGAUGUCAAAACUUUUGGUGAAAAAGAGUUAGUACAAGCAUUUUUAUUGAGAUUGAAAACAUUUCUUAAGAUGAUCAAUACUAGUUACAAAAUUGGAAUGAAAAAAAAAAGGCAACAUAGACAAAGGUUUGUUUAUUUGAUUGUAAGAUAGAAAAGACUUGUAUUUAGGUUGUGGAAAGGAUUUGAGCAGCAAUUUAUACAACCUUUUCUCAGCAAAACCUUCCUCUUCAAUGAAUCCUUCACAAAACAAAUAGAUCCAAGAAAUUCGACAAAUAAAUUGUUGUCAAUGGUAAGUUUUGAAAUGCUCAAUAGAUUCUUUGUAAUGGAUGGAACAAACAGUACAUCCUUAAGUAAAAUAUGUCUUAUAUUAUCUUUUUUUAAUUCUUUUUAAAAAAAUAAGUGAAUAAUAGUAUGUCAAUCUCAAAUAUCAAUAUGUACAAUUUUUAUUUGUGUAAGAAUUUGCAUCCAAUAAUCAUCAAUACAUAAUUGUCUUUUAAUUGAAUGGUUCUCACCUCCCUUCCAAACUUUGAAAAGGUAAAAUAAGAUCAAUCAUGUCAGUGGCAAUUAAUAUAAAGAUUACUUUUCUUAUUUGUAGUAACGUCCUCUGAUUAUUUAGCUGAUUUUCAAGCUACACAUUUAUUCCAUUUGAUGUUGAUAUUAGUAAAAUUAAUGUAAUAUUUAAAAAGGAAAAAAAUCCGUCGAGCUAAAAGCCGAGUAUAAAAUUGAACCAGACCCAAACCAGAAACGCACGCCAACAACAUGUUUGCGUCAGUCGGCCCAUGCCCAUAAACCCACCAAGCCCGAUCCAAAUAGAAAAAUGAAUUGGACACCCGAGAUAGCAGAAACAGAUAAGUAACGGUCGUGCUAUCCCCAAUCUCAUAUCUUCAACGGUAUCCAGCCAACAUCUCAAAGUGUUCAAUUUUUUUUUAAGCCAAAAAAAAAUUCAAAAUUUUCAAGCGGAAUCUGGGAAGAUAGCGAUGAAAAGCAAGAUUCUGGUUAUCGGCGGAACCGGAUACAUCGGUAAGUACUUAAGGUGCGUUUGAAAUUGAGGUUGAGCAACUAUAACUUUAAAACUGCAGCACUAAAAUAUUUGGUAAACACUAAUUGUUGUAACUUAAAAGCUAUUUAAUAUAAUUUUUCACUUGUAUAAUAAAAAAUUUAUUAUCUUUAAUAAUUUUGUCAAAAUUAUUAUUUAAAAUAUAUACAGUAAGAGAGAUUGUAACAUUUUCAAUCUUUGGUUUGAUAUUCUGGAAGAAAACGAUUUGCCGUUUAUGGAGAAAACUGCUAACCGUUUAAUUUCAGAGAGCAUGUUUUCUAUUCUAGAGAAAACGGCUAACCGUUUGGAGAAAACGGCUAACCGUUUGGAGAAAAUGGCUAACCGUUUGGAGAAAACGGCUAACCGUUUAAUUCCAGAGAGCAUGUUUUCUGUUCUAGAGAAAAUGACUAACCGUUUGGAUAAAACGGCCAACCAUUAAUUACAGAGAGCAACUUAUUUGACAUUCUGGAAUAAAACGGCUCACCGUUAUUGAGAAAACGGCUAACCGUUUAUUUCCAGAGAGCGUGUUUUUGCGUCAACUGGAAAAACGGUUAGCAAGCUUAGAAAUUUCAAUUGUCAAUCGAUGCAAACUCAAACCAAAAGAGUGUUUUUUUGAAGAAGUACUAUUUUUAAUGGUUGUAUUCUUUCAAAUAAACAUCUUCUUUAUUAAAGAUAGACAAACUAUUAUAUCAUAAUUAGAUUUUGCAGGUUUCAUAUAUGUUCUGGAAAUACAAUCUUAUUUUUUAGAGAUUGUAUUCAGGAUUUGAUAUAUCUUAGGGGUAAUUUGCCAUUAAAACUCUAUAGCAAACCAAGAUUGGUGAGGGUAAAUAAAACCUUAAAGAAAAAUGUGCAAACACGUCUCAAAUCCUAAGAAAUUUUCUUUGUUCUUUGCCUCCAUAUUCUUAAAAUUUGAAAAUUCACCCAUCAAUCUUUAAGGUUUUAUUUUGAUGCAAAUAGAGGCUGAGAAGAGUUUGACGUCAUUUCUUAAUCCUAGUGUCCAUCUCGAUCGUUUUGAUGGAACAAAUUUCACUCGUUGGAAGGAAAAAUUGUUCUUUCUUCUUACUGUUCUUAAAGUGGCAUAUGUUCUUAAUCCGAAAUUGGAACCAUUUCCAGAACCAAGGGAAGAUGAUACCGAAGUUGUUAAGGCUGUAAGGAAACGUCGUGAAGAUGAUGAAUUGAUGUGCCGGGGUCACAUACUCAAUACGCGUUCUGACAGGUUAUAUGAUCUCUACAAUUUUAUGACUUCUUCGAUGGAAAUUUGGAAUGCUCUUGAGUACAAAUACAAAACGGAGAAAGAAGGUACUGACAAAUUCCUUGUCUCUAAAUAUUUUGAAUUUAUUAUGGUAGACACACAAUCCAUUCUUGAUCAAAUACAUGAGUUAUAAAUUAUUGUUGCUAAGCUUCGAGAGUUAAAAGUUAAAAUUUCUGAAUCAUUUCAAGUUGGGACUAUUAUUGCUAAAUUGCCUCAAAGUUGGAAUGAUUAUAGAAAGAAACUCCUUCAUAGUAAAGAGAACAUAACUUUAGAAGAAUUGCAAAAACACUUGGUAAUUGAAGAAGAGACUAGGUCUCGCGAAUCCAAGGAUAAACAUGAUUCUACUAAAGUUAAUGUUCUUGAAGCUAGUAAAUUCUCAAAGAAUUUUAAAGUCAAGAAUGACAAGAAAUUUAAGAGGUCCAGCACACAAAAGUUUUCUGGAAAUUGUUUCUUUUGUGGUAAGAAAGGUCAUCGCCAAAGUGAUUGCAGAUUCAAGAAAAAAAAAGAAGAAGUGAAUUCCUAUAAAGCUAAUGUUAUUGAAAACAAAUCUGAAAAGAUUUGUGCUAUGGUUUCUGAAAUACAAAUUGGCAUGAUUAUCGAAACCAAUAUGGCUGAAACUAAGUCCUAUGAUUGGUGGCUCGAUUCGGGUACAACAAUUCAUGUUUGUAAUGAUAAGAAAUUUUUAUUAUCAUACAAAGAAGAAACGGAAGGACAAAUGGUUCUCAUGGGGAACAAUAAUGCAGCCAUAGUAGCAGGGAAAUGAGUAGUUGAGAUCAACUUCACUUCUAGAAAGAAAGUCACAUUGUAUAAUGUCUUUCAUGUACCUUCCGUUAGGAAGAAUCUUAUUUCUGCUAGUUGUAUGUGUAAGCAUGGGCUUAAGAUUGUGCUUGAGGGUAAUACUUGUAUUAUCUCAAAGAAUGAAUUAUUUGUUGGGAAAGGGUAUUCUUGUGAUGGAAUGUACAAACUCAACAUUAAUAAUAAUAAUAUCAACUUAGCUUAUAUUGUUGAGUCUUGUGAUGUUUGGCAUGCUAAAUUAGCACAUUUGAAUUUUAGAUCUUUGAAAUACAUGUCUGAGCAUGGUUUGAUUAAUUGCAAUGAUGUUAAAGGUCAUAAGUGUGAAAUCUGCAUCCAAGCUAAAUUAACUAAGAAACAUUUUCUUAAAGCCGAACGAAAUACUCAAAUAUUGGAUUUAAUAUAUACCGAUAUUUGUGAGUAUAAUGGCGUUUUAACAAGAGGAGGUAAGAAGUACUUUAUCCCUUUUAUUGAUGAUUGUUCUAGAUACACUUAUAUGUAUUUACUUAGAACAAAAAAUGAAGCUUUUGAUAAAUUUAAAAUUUUCAAAGCUGAAGUUGAGAACCAAAAAGAUAAGAAAAUCAAAAUGGUUCGUAGUGAUAGAGGUGGUGAAUAUUUCUCAAUUGAAUUUAAUAAUUAUUGUGAAGAAUUUGGAAUUAUUCACCAAAGAUCAGCUCCAUUUACUCCUCAACAAAGUGGUUUGGCUGAAAGAAAGAAUAGGAUCUUCACGGAUAUGAUAAAUUCCAUGAUCCAUAAUGCAAAACUACCAAAUAAUUUGUGGGGGGAAGCAUUACUCACUGCAUGUCAUAUUCAUAACAGAAUUACAUCUUUGAAAACACAUAUAUCUCUUUAUGAAAUUUGGAAAGGAAGAAAACCAAACUUGAUGUAUUUAAGGGUCUAGGGUUGUUUAGCUUUUUAUAAAAUACAUGAUCCUAAAUCAUCAAAGUUAAGUGCUAGAUGUAUAAAGAGUGUUUUCGUAGGAUAUGCUGAAAAUUCUAAGGCUUAUAGGUUGUUAGAUUUAGAUUAUAAUGUGAUUGUGGAAUCUAGAGAUGUUGAAUUUAUUGAGAAUAAAUUUCAACAUGAUUCUAAUAUUGAAUUAGAAUCAAUUAUUGAUCAACCAUGUGUUAAUACUCCUGUUACCUCCACUAACAAUAAUAAAAGGAAAGAGUCUAUGACAUCUUUCGAACCAAUGAGGAGUCAACGUGAAAAGAAAGAAAAGAGUUUAGCUCCGGAUUUUAUUUCAUCACAAGCACUACUCUUCUUGGUUGAAGGGGAUAGAAAGAAUGUACUUAACAAAGUACCAUUAUUGUUAAAUAUUGAAAAAGAUCCAAAGACAUUUAGCGAAGCUAUGUCUUCUAGAGACGCUUCUUUUUAGAGAGAGGCGGUAAAUGAUGAAAUUGAUUCGAUUAUUUCGAAUCAAACAUGGGUCUUGGUUGAUCUUCCUCCAGGAUCUAAACCAAUUAGCAGCAAAUGGGUAUUUAGAAGAAAGUACAAUAGUGAUGGUUCUUUGCACACUUUUAAGGCUAGAUUAGUAGCCAAAGGGUUUAAGCAAAGAAAUGGUAUUGAUUAUUUCGAUACAUAUGCUUCGGUAGCAAGGUUAACUUCUAUAAGAGUGCUAUUUGCAAUUGCUUCAUUGAACAAUUUGUAUGUGCAUCUAAUGGAUGUUAAAACCGCUUUUCUUAAUGGUGAUCUUGAUGAAGAAAUCUAUAUGGAACAACCUGAGGGAUUUGUUUUACCAGGAAAUGAGAAAAAAGGUAUGCAAAUUAGUCAAAUCACUUUAUGGUUUAAAGCAAGCACCAAAACAAUGGCAUGAGAAGUUUGAUUCGGUAAUUUUAUCUCAUGGUUUUAAGCAUAAUAAUGCUGAUAAAUGUAUAUAUUUUAAAUUUACGAAUGAUUUUGGUGUGAUUAUAUGCUUGUAUGUUGAUGACUUGCUUAUCUUUGGGACAAAUAUGCAAGGAGUAGAUGAUACAAAGAAGUAUUUAACUUCACAAUUUAAGAUAAAAGAUCUUGGUGAAGUAGAUACUAUCUUAGGUGUCAAAGUGAAGAAACAUAGUGAGGGUUACUCGUUGUGUCAAUCUCAUUAUAUAGAGAAAGUGCUUCUUAAAUUCAAUUAUUUGAAAUUUAAAGAAGCUAAUACCCCAUAUGAUUCUAGUAUUAAAUUAUUAGAGAAUUCAGGCCGAGUAGUAGCACAACUAGAAUAUGCUAGUGCUAUUGGUAGCUUGAUGUAUGCUAUGCAUUGUACGAGGCCUGAUAUAGCAUUUGCAGUUUGCAAAAUGUCAAGAUUCACGAGUAACCCUAGUGUUGAACACUGGAAAGCAAUUGGUAGAAUACUUGGUUAUCUUAAAAGGACCAUUCAUUUGGGUUUAUUUUAUAAUGAUUAUCCUGAAGUACUGGAAGGAUAUUCAGAUGCUAGUUGGGUAACCAAUACAAGAGAUAAUAAAUCCACUUCUGGUUGGAUUUUUACAAUUGUUGGAGGAGCAGUUUCCUGGGCUUCAAAGAAACAAACGUACAUAACUCAUUCAACAAUGGAAAGUGAGUUUAUAGCACUCGCAGUUGCAAGCAAGGAAGUAGAAUGACUGAGAAAUUUGUUGUUUGAUAUAAUGUUAUGGCCACAACCGAUGCCAUAUAUUUCUUUGUACUGCGAUAGUGAAGCUACAUUGUCUAGAGCUUAUAAUAAAGUGUAUAAUGGAAAGUCUAGACAUAUUAGCUUGAGACAUGAAUAUGUGAAACAAUUAAUAGCAGAUGGUGUUAUUAAUAUUGUUUAUGUUAGGACUAAUAAGAACCUAGCGGAUCCUUUAAUAAAAGGUCUUACAAGAGACUUAGUUAAGGAUACAUCUUUUGGAAUGGGAUUGAAACCUUUAAAUAAUAAAGUCACCAACGACGAUAACCCAACUAUGUAGUAGUUGUACCGCUACUCCAUAGUUAAAUGGAUAAUAACAAGUUGUUGUUAUGUGACUGGUUUGGCACCGAGUAAUAAAUAAUCACAUUCGAGAUAUUCGGUGCAAAUAGCUACGAGGUUGAGGUUGAGUAUUUAUUCUUAAUGAAGUUCAAGUCUUAUAGUAGCUAAAGACAUGAUUUGAAACUUCACCUAAGUGAACAUAAGAAAUGGUGCCGUUUCUAACAAGAUCAUGGUUUAAUCUAGUAAAUGUUCAUGAAUUCAAGAUAGAGCACAAGGCCGGAAUAGUGCUAAAUAUUGGAACACAACUUUGAAAAUCUGGGAUAGCUUAUAUGUGAUGUAUCUCCGGUAUUUACUUAAGAGACAAAGUUUAAUGCUUAGCACAUUAUUGUCUUGUAAAUGCUUUGAAAUACACUCACUAAUUAAAGGUUAAAAUCGAAAGAUAUCUUUUUGUAUGUAUAAGUUUAUCAUUAAUAAAUAUGAAAAAUAUUACAAUCUAGUGGGGGAUUGUAAGAGAGAUUGUAACAUUUUCAAUCUUUCGUUUGAUAUUCUGGAAGAAAACGGUUUGCCGUUUAUGGAGAAAACGGCUAACUGUUUAAUUCCAAAUAGCAUGUUUUCUGUUCUAGAGAAAACGACUAACUAUUUGGAGAAAAUGGCUAACUGUUUAAUUCUAGAGAGCAUGUUUUCUGUUCUAGAGAAAGCGGCUAACCGUUUGGAUAAAACGACCAACCGUUAAUUACAGAGAGCAACUUAUUUGACAUUCUGGAAUAAAACGGCUCACCGUUAUUGAGAAAACGGCUAACCGUUUAUUUCCAGAAAGCGUGUUUUUGCGUCAAUUGGAAAAACGGUUAGCAAGCUUGGAAAUUUCAAUUGUCAAUCGAUGCAAACUCAAACCAAAAGAGUGUUUUUUUGAAGAAGUACAAUUUCUAAUGGUUGUAUUCUUUCAAAUAAACAUCUUCUUUAUUAAAGAUAGACAAACAAUUAGAUCAUAAUCAGAUUUUGCAGGUUUCAUAUAUGUUCUGGAAAUACAAUAGAUCAUAAUCAGAUUUUGCAGGUUUCAUAUAUGUUCUGGAAAUACAAUCUUAUUUGCUAGAGAUUGUAUUCAUGAUUUGAUAUAUCUUGGGGGUAAUUUACCAUUAAAACUCUAUAGCAAACCAAGAUUGGUGAGGACAAAUAAAACCUUAAAGGAAAGUGUGCAAACACGUCUCAAAUCCUAAGAAUUGUUUUUUGUUCUUUGCCUCCAUAUUCUUAAAAUUCGAAAAUUCACCCAUCAUAUACAUACUACAUAUUAUUAACUUUUGUUUUAUAACUAUAGUGUUUUUUUUUUACCGCAACUGUAGUUUAAAAACUACAGCACCUCAAUCCCAAACAAGACCUUAGUGGAAGCGAGCGCAAAAGCCGAUCACCCAACAUUCGCGCUUGUGAGAGACUCCACUCUCUCCACUCAUUCCAAAUCCAAAAUCCUCGACCGUUUCAAAAAUCUCGGCGUCAAUUUAGUUCUUGUGCGCCACUCUUUUAGCUUUCCAAUUUUCCCGCCAAUUUUCUUUUAUUGUGAUUAAUUAAUUAAUUAAUUAAUUAAAGUAAAGAUUUUAUAUUAUAAUUUUGUUUGCAGGGAGAUCUAUACAGCCAUGAGAGCUUGGUGAGUGCAAUAAAGCAAGUGGAUGUUAAGGUAAUGAUUAACUUAAGUAAAUGCGUUAACUAAUUACUUGGGAUUUUAAAUUCAAAUGCGUGAAUUGUUCUAAAAAAUGAUUUAUGUUUAUUAGUCAGAGAUUCUUUCCUUCAGAAUUUGGAAAUGAUGUUGAUCGCGUGCAUGCCGUUGAGCCAGCAAGAACAUCAUUUGCCACCAAGGCUAAAAUCCGCCGAGCUGUUGAGGCUGAAGGAAUUCCAUACACCUACGUAGCUUCCAAUUUCUUCGCUGGUUUGUAUCUUUCCAGUUUCUCACAGCCUGAAGCCACAGCUCCUCCAAGGGAUAAAGUGGUCAUCGUAGGUGAUCGAAAUGCAAAAGGCAAAGCGCUUCUGGAUACAUUUACUCUGUACACGCAAUGUGUGGUUACUGUUUGGGGAUAAAAAAGGAGAUUAAUUAAUAAAGAAAAUGAAAUUAUUGAGGGAUUUGCUGAAGAGUUGCGUGCACUCCUCAUUUUUCUCCACCACUCAUCUUACUUGCAAAAUGCAAUGACCAAACUAUCCUCGCCAAAGCCUAGACAUUUACUUGUGUUCAAAGGCCAUUUAAGAGAGACAAGUACAAAAAAUUAUAAAGGAUAGUGAGCAAAAGAAGAAAAUGGAAGGAGGGGAGAAUAAAAAAUGGGAGUGGGGCGUUAUCUAGGGAGGAUUUUUAUUUUUAUUUUUUUUCCUCUCUUCUCCAUGGCAUCUCUUUCUCUCUUUCUCCCACUAAGAAAUUCUUUCUUUUACACUCUAUUUUACUUUUAUUCAAAUUACACAAAAAACUUUUGGUUUUAAGGCAAUGUUUAUUAAGCCACGUGAAUUUGAAAAAGCAGGAAUAAGGGGAUGAUUUUAACACAUUAAUUCACCAACAUUAAUUGGAAAAGAUCAGUUGCCACUUCGAAUCAGAGUAAUUUCUUCGGCAAUAGCCAAAUAUUGAUAUUUGAUCUUGACACUGUAGUUAAAUCAAUGUAACUGGUUUUGUCAUUUGAUCCCCAGUAAUUUUUAACAAGGAAGACGAUAUUGGAAUUAAUUCUAUCAAAGCGGUGGAUGAUCCGAGAACACUGAACAAAAUACUUUACAUCAGACCCCGUUGCAAUAUCUACUCAUUUAAUGAUCUUGUGUCUCUGUGGGAGGAAAAGAUUGGCAAAGCCCUUGACAGGGUCUAUGUUACAGAGGAACAACUUCUGAAAAACAUUCAAGGUUAGUUAGAACUAUCACUUUAUCAAGUGCAUAGAUGUAACUGACCGAUAAUGGAAUUUUUUUUCCUUCUCCAAAAUGCGAUAGAAUCUAAUCGGUUUCAACAAUCUCAAGAACACCUAUUCAUGGUUGUGUUGUUUGAAAUCUGUAUGUAUCAGUUUUCUUUCUAGAUCUCAGAUUGCUCGCAAGGAUGUCAAGUUUUGAUGAUGCUUGCCUGUUUUCCUGUGUUUACAGAAGCUUCAUAUCCACUCAAUAUGAUAUUACCUAUUGGGCACUCUGCCUAUGUCCUGGGAGAUCAGACCAACUUCGAAAUUGAACCUUCAUUUGGAGUAGAGGCAACAGAGCUUUAUCCAGAUGUCAACUACACUACUGUGGAUGAGUACCUCAACCAGUUCAUAUAAACCUUCUGAGAUGAGCAGCAGGAUCCUAACAAAAAAUUGGGUGGUUUCCAUCCCUGAUUCUAUGGUAUAAAGAUAGCGGCUUUCCCUGCUUUUGCCAGUUCAAUGAAGUUUGUUAGAUGAUGUUAUUUAUACUAUACUAGCAAAGAUCAAGUUGCCUUUCUUGUCAAGAAGCCAAGCUCUGGCAUUGGUUUAUGCUAGUUUUUCAUGUUUAUUACUUUUUUUGCAUUCAAAAUGAUAAAACUGCAGAGGUUGUUGCAUGCACGUCAUUUGUUAGUAGGGGUAUCAAUUUAUGAACGUAUGAAGUAUCUCUUCUGCAACGGCAUCCUCCUUAACUGUCAGUAGGAUCACAAUAAGUCGACCAACCAUCUACCGUAUGGAUUAUCUAUAAAUUGAAAUUGGUGUGUAUUAUGGAUCUGUCACUCUGCUGUUUCUGUUUUCUUUUCUAUUUUUACCAAGAAAGAAACAUUGUUAAAACUGAAUGGUUGUUAUCUCGUCUUGUUGUAAUGUUGUGUAUGCUUUCUAGAAAAUAAUGAAGUGCCAAAUAUGAAAAUACUAGUGGCUACCUUACCAUCCUUAAUAAGUUGUCUGAUUGUCACCGUCAACAAUCACUCUCAGCAACUCAUAAUCCAUUUAAGCAUAUUAUAAAAUAAUCAAUUUUGUAUUUGCACCAACUUUUAGUUUUAAAUGACAAUUUCGUUGAUCCCCACACUUCUGUACUAAUCAAAUCCACUGAAACUGGACUUUUUUUUCUUUUUUUUUAUAAUUACAUCGAUUGCAUUGGCUAUUGCAGGGAAAAGACUGCCUCUACAGGGAACUAAACUUUCAGAAUUGUUCUUAUGAGGGUUUGAAUAUGCUCUCGUACUAGGUCAAUGGCCUAUUGGUUCGAGACCAUUCACAAAGAAAGAAAUGAGUUUUGCUUGUAUAAAUGAAAGAAAUCCAAAUGAUAACUAAUGUAUAGUGGUACAUGAGAAAAAUAAUUUCAGCCCGUGUAAAGUCAAAAAGAGAAAAUAUUAAAAGAAAGGAUAAUGUCAUUGAGUUCGGUGAAGUGAAAGAAAAUGAAAAACAUGGGAUUUAGUCAAACUUAGUGUCCCAAUCAGCAGAAAAAGGUUUUAGAAACUCACCUCAAGUUAAGCCAACUAUUAGGAGCUUUAUUUAAUCAUGACUUUCUAAUGUAUAGUACUCCAAUACUAAACGAGGGCUACCUCUACGCUUGCAAUUGUAAAUGAAAUUGAGUUCGUGACGCACAAUGAAGUGAGCAAAAUGAGUUGAGAUCUGAGAAUAUAUUAAAGAAAAUAUGAAUCAAUGAAUUUUGGUUAAAAAAAACAAAUGCUGGUUCUUCAAGACCUGCGUGUAUUGUGUAAGUUUUGUUAGGAGAAGGAAAGCAUUUUGGUCUAAAACGCACUAAAUCGGAUUCAUUUGCUUGAUAUCUAAUAAGGGUGAAUUAACCACUCGCCCACAGCAAUUCAAGUCCCAAAAAAAUUAUUGUGGGGGCUAAAUUUCUUCUUUAAUUAUAACAAAUAAUUGAGUGGAGGAUAAAAAUUUAGGCCAUGUAUAACAAUAACUAAUAUAAACUAGUCCUAAUAAUAGUAUAAUUGUAAAUAUCAGUUGUAGUCUCAUACAAUAUAAGUUUAUAGAUUAUAAUAUCGGCAUAAAAAGAAAAAUGAUAUCUGACGGUCAAUCAAUAAAAGGACAAAAACUUGGAGUAACAUACCACAAAGUCAAUGUAGCUGGACAGAUGAAUAUAAUAUGUAAACAAAUUUAAAUGGGAUAAUACCAUACGGUACAUACAUAACAUUUUAAAACUGAAUUAAAAAAAUAAAAUUAAAACUGAAUUGGAAUUCGUAUGUGUAUCCAGCUACCUUGCAACAGUUGUAAGGUACCCUAACUUUGCAACAAUUUCAUCCUUCGUGCAUUCGGUCACAAAGUCCAAAUUAGGCACGUUUAAGAAUCGAACUGAAAAACUAAAAAAAAAGAAUCCGGCGAUAUUUGCGAACCGGAAACGAGCCAGCGUUAUGCUUAUGUCAUUUCAGAGAUAUCAACAGUCGUGCUUUCAGUCCUUAAACCUCAAGGGCAUUUUCGUCCUUUCACUCAAGCGUGAAACUGCAUGUAAGAACUGCUUCGCUUACACGCUCCAUGCACAUUUAAAGGCACCACUGUCGGAUAAAAAAUAUCCAUCCAUUUGAUCAUUUCAAAACAAAACGAAAAAAAAAAUCUCAGUAAUUGAACUGAACGAGUCUCAGAAAUGGCAUCGAAAAGUAAGAUUCUAUUCAUCGGCGGGACAGGGUAUAUCGGUAAAUUCACUGUCGAAGCGAGCGUAAAAGCCGGCCACCCGACGUUCGUGCUCGUGAGAGAAUCCACAAUCUCUGGUCCUUCCAAAUCUCAACUCCUCGAUCACUUCAAAAACCUCGGCGUCAAUCUUGUCAUAGUGCGUUUUCAUUUUUCUCUUUUCUUUAUUUUUUAUUCCGAUCAUUUUUACACGUCGAAGUGUAGCAUCUACUACUUAAUAUACAUAAUGAUAUUAUUAUUUUUUAAUUUUUUUGGGUUGCUGUUAUUAUUAUACAGGGAGAUGUGUUGAAUCACGAGAGUUUGGUGAAGGCGAUAAAACAAGUGGACGCGGUGAUAUCAACAGUUGGUCACACUUUAAUAGCCGAUCAGGUCAAGAUUAUUGCUGCCAUUAAAGAAGCCGGUAACGUUAAGGUAUGACAUAAUUAAUGUAAAUGUCUUAGAUUUCGAUCAGGAUUGUGCACUCGUGCACACGUGGUGAUUUAUUCUUCGUGUGGAGCUCGCUGUAGAGUAGAGCUCCCAGUUCCGCUAAUAAACACCCGUCAGAUGCGCAAUUGCGCCUCAAAAUAAUUUAAUUAAUUAAUUAGGUAUAAACACCGAUGGCAUGAAAGCAAUUAAAAUUAGUUGAUGUUUAUAAAUUAUUUAUUACUCAGAGAUUCUUACCAUCGGAAUUUGGAAAUGAUGUUGAUCGAGUCGAAGGCGCCGUAGAGCCAACAAAAUCGACGUAUGACGUAAAGGCGAAAAUCCGCCGAGCCGUUGAGGCAGAAGGCAUUCCGUACACUUACGUAGAAUCUUAUUGUUUUGAUGGGUAUUUCCUCCCCAAUUUGUUGCAGCCUGAGGCCACUGCCCCCCCUAGGGAUAAGGUUGUCAUCUUAGGCGAUGGAAAUCCAAAAGGUAAUAUAAUUUAAUUAAGCUCUGUUUGUUUGGUAUGUAUUGCGGUGUUAAUGUUAUUGUCUGUUGUACAAUGGAUGGUCUUGCUUGGUACUGUUGUUGGAGAGCUGCAGUGUUUUGAUAAACACCUCUAUAGUCUAUCCUUAUCCUUAGCUUUCAAGUUAAGUUGAUUUUAUACAACACUUGUUUAAUUAAAAACUUGUAAUAUUCUUACUACUUUGAUAAAAAAAAUAUUACGAUUAAAGUAUUAAUGGCACCAUAAUACGAAAUGAAUCUUAAGUGGUCAUUAUAGAUUUUAAGAUAGAGUUUUAAGUGAUUACCAGAUACUUUAGCUGCUGAACCGCCACAUCAUGGUUGCCACACAACAAUUUCAAACAGAACCUAAAUAACUUCAUUGCAAAACAGUUAAAUGAAUCUAACUUAGUUUCGUCGUUUGAUUUUCAGCUGUUUUUAACAAGGAAGAUGAUAUUGGAACCUACACUAUCAAAGCGGUUGAUGAUCCGAGAACCUUGAACAAAAACUUUUACAUUCAGCCUCCCGGUAAUAUUUACUCAUUCAAUGAUCUUGUGUCUCUGUGGGAGAGAAAGAUUGGUAAAACCCUCGAAAAGGAGUAUGUUUCAGAGGAGCAGCUCCUAAAGAAUAUUCAAGGUUGGUUAAAACUCUCUUUUUUAAAUGUAUUAAAGAGAGCCGUAUAUUCUCUGCCGUAAAUGUUAUUGAUCCUGUCUUCUCCAAAAUGUUGCAGAAGCUGCACCUCCACACAAUGUGAUAUUAUCAAUUUAUCACUCUGCUUUCGUGAAGGGAGUUCAAACCAACUUCAAGAUUGAACCAUCUUUUGGAGUUGAAGCCUCGCAGCUUUAUCCUGAUGUCAAGUACACUACAGUUGAUGAGUACCUCAAUCAGUUUGUGUAACCCUUCUCUGUUUCCAGCUGCAGCUUGCAGGAUCUUGGACUCUUGGUAAAUAAAUAAUUGGCUUGUUGCCAUCUUUGGUUUUAUAUGUAAAAAUUAUGGUUGUUGGCCUUACUUUCUUCUGGUUGUCCAUGGAAUUUGUUAGACCAUAUUAUGUUUGCUAUGUCAGUGAUCAAAUGAAGUAGGCCAUGUACUUGAUUUGAGAGUAGUAGUUAUAAAAAGCCAUCAUGAUCAGGUGGGUGCGUGGGUUGGGCUUCUAUUAGGGUGCGUGUGUUGGGCUUCAGGGGCUUGUGAUAUGGGUUCGACAGCCCCUAACGGGCAGUCAUUAUAAAAAUAAUUAUAGAGUUACAAAUCUAUGUAAAAAGCAAAAAUUAAAAGUAAUUUAUCAAUAAAAAUAAUUAAAAUUAAUAAAAAGUAGGUAUGAUAUUUCAGAAAUUAAAUUAAAGAUAGCAUUCUAAAGAGUUGGAUAAUCCUCCAACUAAACUAAAGAUCUAGUACAUUUGAGAGCAAAUUUAAUUAAAGAAAAGGAUAAGGAAAAACAAUAGAAUAAUAAUAUUAAAAAUUGCAAAUCUUGGUCUUUUUUUUUUACGAUGAUGUUGAUUUCUUAUAAAUUUAAUCUUAUCUAUAGAAUUAUUUAGUUACUGUAUGUCAAAAUUUCCUAUAAAGAUGAAGAAAAAUUAUAUUAGGAGAAGAUCCAAAUCCGUUUAACUGAUGCAUCAUCAACAACAUGAGUACAACAUUUUCGAAUAAACAAAAGAAACUCGUUUUAUGUGCGAACCAGUUCCAAAAUAAAGAGCAGACUAUUGGAAGGAGACAAAUACUACAAGAAGAACAAAACAUUCUACAGUUCCUACAUGAGCCCGCAACAAUUAAUUAUUAACUCGACAUUCAUUACACUUUUUCUUUAAUUUGACAAAGAAACCAAAAAUAAGAUAAAAUUGACUAAGAAAUAAAAAAAUGACCAAAAUCUUUUUGAAGUUUUGCCAGUUCAGCCAUGCACGCUUAUCUUUAUUCACUUGUUUCCUUUCUUUCCUGGAGCCUUCACAAAUCCUUUACCUUUCUGAGCCUUGCCAAUUUUCCCCUUCUUCAAACCACCUGGCCUUGCUGGAUCCACGUGUCCUUGCAUCCUUUUUCAUUCGUGGAUCAACAAGAAUCUCCCCCUUUCCAACUCUCUCUUGAACUCCUUUCUUUGCGACCAUGUAUUCUUUUGUAGGCCUUUUGGGUAUAGUUGUCUUGUAUAAUUGUUCAAUUUGAUUCCUCUUCGAACGAUCAGAGAUGUCCGCUUAGUCUAAUAUGACAUUUGCCUUCUUGCGAACCUUCUCAAGAUUUCGCAUGGCAACCCGUAUCUUUCGAGCUUUGGUCUUAGCCACCUUCUUGGCAAUAAGGGUGGGCGAUUCGGUUUUGGGAUAAACUUUUGGUUUCGUAUCGGUUUAGAUUCAAAAAUAGUAUAAAAAAAUAUUUAGAUUUUAUGGGAAAAAAUCUGAACCGAAACUGACCUAUCGAUUUCGUCUCGGUUUCAGUUUAGUUUCGAUUCUCCUAAUAGUUUUGUUUUGCCUUAUUGACUUCCGGUCAAGGACACUUUUGAAAAAUUUACAAACAAAAAAAAAUUGGCCAUAACAAAAUUUCUAUAUGUAAAUAUUUCCUAAACAUUGGGCUAUACUAAAUUUUUUUAAAAGGUAGGGAUCCAAACGAUAUUAUCCCUCUACUUCAUCUUCAACCUUCGUCACUUAGCAGCUACCACAGUAUCGAAAUGGAAAAACUAAAAAAGCACCGUAGGAUACGCAUAUCCACACAUAUCUAAUAAAACUAAAUAUUAUUAAUAAUUUAGUAUAGUAAUAAUAAAACAAGACAAACAUGAAAUUAGAAAAGACUAAAGAGCUUUUUAAGAAAAAAGCCAUUUAAAAAACGAAAAAUAGCAAGUUAUUUGGCUAGUUAACUGGCGACAGAAGUAAUGGAAAGAAGCAACAACGGCAGCGGCAGGUCAACAACGAAGAUUCAGCAGCACCGACCACCCACAGACUUGGAUUCGAUUGCAAAGUUGGGACUUAGGAUUUGGGUUUGUGGCUGCUGAAAUUGAAAGCGAGAGAGUAGAAAGUAGAGACUGAGAGUGGUGCAAACAUGUGUAAUUCUGUGUGUGUGUGUGUCUAUAUAUAUAUAUAUAUAUAUAUAUAUAUAUAUAUAUAUAUAUAUAAUGUGAAAUUAUAAAAAUGCCAUUAUAUCGGUUCGAUUCGAAUUUUGUAACUUGUGAUCCGAAAACUGAACCAAAUCGAAUCAUUUGGUUUGGUAUUUAUAUAUUCGGGUUUUUAAUUUAAAAAAAACUAAAUUAAAACUGAAAAAACCAGAACCGAAUUUUUUUUUUUUUUUUUGUUUCGGUUCAAUUCUGCCCAUCCCAACUUAGUAGGCUGGGCAUCAAUUUCUUUGAAUUGUGCUUUCAUUGCAGUAAUCUCCUCCUUGGUAAUAGGUUUAAUUGCUUACUGAUGCCUCAUUUCCUCUAGUAACAACUAGUCUAACAAGUCAUCAUCGUCAAACAUGUACCUAUUAUAAGCAUCAUCCAGAAUUUGCUCUCUUUGCAUUUUGCUUAGUGUCUUCUUUGCACAAGCUAAUAUCUCAGCUUUUUGUAUCAAUAUCUUUAUCUUUUGAUUCACCAGCGGAUGAAUCAUCACCGGAAUAGAGUGGUGAAGGCCCCAUAGAUCAGUGUGAUCAAGUUCUAGUGUAGUUUUGGUUUUGAUUUCAGUAUUAGGAAAAUGAAGCCUAUGAAAUUUACCAAGCUAACAUGCUUCACAAAAGUGCUUUAAUACUUGACUAUGAAUACUUGAAGACGAUAAAUGAGGAUAAAUAAAUUUAAGGCAAAUGUUAUGUUACAAUUAAUGUAACAUACACACUCAAUAACAACCACACAAAUUUUGUGGGCCCAUUAUUUGUGUGGUUGUUGUUGAGUGUGUAUGUUACAUUAAUUGUAACAUAGGGGCUCCCUAAAUUUAAAUAUGCAUUAGAUUUUGAGGGUUGGGAUGUCAAAACUUUUGGUGAAAAAGAGUUAGUACAAGCAUUUUUAUUGAGAUUUAAAACAUUUCUUAAGAUGAUCAAUGCUAGUUACAGAAUAGGAAUGAAAAAAAAAGGCAACAUAGACAAAGGUUUGUUUAUUUGAUUGUAAGAUAGAAAAGACUUGUAUUUAGGUUGUGGAAAGGAUUUGAGCAGCAAUUUAUACAACCUUUUCUCAGCAAAACCUUCCUCUUCAAUGAAUCCUUCACAAAACAAAUAGAUCCAAGAAAUUUGACAAAUAAAUUGUUGUCAAUGGUAAGUUUUGAAAUGCUUAAUAGAUUCUUUGUAAUGGAUGGAACAAACAAUACAUCCUUAAGUAAAAUAUGUCUUAUAUUAUCUUUUUUUUUAAUUAUUUUUAAAAAAUAAGUGAAUAAUAGUAUGUCAAUCUCAAAUAUCAAUAUGUACAAUUUUUAUUUGUGUAAGAAUUUGCAUCCAAUAAUCAUCAAUACAUAAUUGUCUUUUAAUUUAAUUGUUCUCACCUCCCUUCCAAACUUUGAAAAGGUAAAAUAAGAUCAAUCAUGUCGGUGGCAAUUAAUAUAAGGAUUACUUUUCUUAUUUGUAGUAACGUCCUCUGAUUAUUUAGCUGAUUUUCAAGCUACACAUUUAUUCCAUUUGAUGUUGAUAUUAGUAAAAUUAAUGUAAUAUUUAAAAAGGAAAAAAAUCCGUCGAGCUAAAAGCUGAGUAUAAAAUUGAACCCGACCCAAACCAGAAACGCACGCCAACAGCAUGCUUGCGUCAGUCGGCCCAAGCCCAUAAACCCACCAAGCCCAAUCCAAAUAGAAAAAUGAAUUGGAUGCCCGAGAUAGCACAAACAGAUAAGUAACGCUAGCGCUAUCCCCAGUCUCAUAUCUUCAACGGUAUCCAGCCAACAUCUCAAAGUGUUCAAUUUUUUUUUGAAGCUAAAAAAAAAAUUCAAAAUUUUCAAGUGGAAUCUGGGAAGAUGGCAACAAAAAGCAAGAUUCUGGUUAUCGGCGGAACCGGAUACAUAGGUAAGUACUUAAGGUGCGUUUGAAAUUGAAGUUGGACAGGUAUAACUUUAAAACUGCAGCACUAAAAUGUUUGGUAAACACUAACUAUUGUAACUUAAAAACUAUUUAAUAUAAUUUUUCACUUGUAUAAUAAAAAAUUUAUUAUAUCUUUAAUAAUUUUAUCAAAAUUAUUAUUUAAAAUAUAUACAUACUACAUAUUAUUAAUUUUUGUUUUAUAACUAUAAUUUUUUUCCUACCGCAACUGUAAUUUAAAAACUACAGCACCUCAAUCCCAAACAAGACUUUAGUGGAUGCGAGCGCGAAAGACGAUCACCCAACAUUUGCGCUUGUGAGAGACUCCACUCUCUCCACUCCUUCCAAAUCCAAAAUCCUCGACCGUUUCAAAAAUCUCGGCGUCAAUUUAGUUCCUGUGCGCCACUCUUUUAGCUUUCCAUUUUUCCUGCCAAUUUUCUUUUAUUGUGAUUAAUUAAUUAAUGUAAAGAUUUUAUAUUAUAAUUUUGUUUUCAGGGAGAUCUAUACAGCCAUGAGAGCUUGGUGAGUGCAAUAAAGCAAGUGGAUGUGGUGAUAUCAGCGAUAGGUCGCACUCAAUUAGCUGAUCAACUCAACAUUAUCGCAGCAAAUUGCGAUAACUAAUUACUUGGGAUUUUAAAGAAGCUGGAAAUGUUAAGGUACUGAUUAACUUAAGUAAAUGCGUUAACUAAUUACUUGGGAUUUUAAAUUCAAAUGCGUGAAUUGUUCUAAAAAAUGAUUUAUGUUUAUUAGUCAGAGAUUCUUUCCUUCAGAAUUUGGAAAUGAUGUUGAUCGCGUGCAUGCCGUUGAGCCAGCAAGAACAUCAUUUGCCACCAAGGCUAAAAUCCGCCGAGCUGUUGAGGCUGAAGGAAUUCCAUACACCUACGUAGCUUCCAAUUUCUUCGCUGGUUUGUAUCUUUCCAGUUUCUCACAGCCUGGAGCCGCAGCUCCUCCAAGGGAUAAAGUGGUCAUCGUAGGUGAUGGAAAUGCAAAAGGCAAAGCGCUUCUGGAUACAUUUACUCUGUACACGCAGUGUGUGGUUACUGUUUAGGGAUAAAAAAGGAGAUUAAUUAAUAAAGAAAAUGAAAUUAUUGAGGGAUUUGCUGAAGAGUUGCGUGCACUCCUCAUUUUUCUCCACCACUCAUCUUACUUGCAAAAUGCAAUGACCAAACUAUCCUCGCCAAAGCCUAGACAUUUGCUUGUGUUCAAAGGCCAUUUAAGGGAGACAAGUACAAAAAAUUAUAAAGGAUAGUGAGCAAAAGAAGAAAAUGGAAGGGGGAGAGUAAAAAAGGGGAGUGGGGCGUUAUCCAGGGAGGAUUUUUAUUUUUAUUUUUUUCCUCUCUUCUCCAUGGCAUCUCUUUCUCUCUUUCUCCCACUAAGAAAUUCUUUCUUUUACACUCUAUUUUACUUUUCUACAAAUUACACAAAAAGCUUUUGGUUUUAAGGCAAUGUUUAUUAAGCCACAUGAACUUGAAAAAGCAUGAAUAAGGGGAUGAUUUUAACACAUUAAUUCACCAACAUUAAUUGGAAAAGAUCAGUUGCCACUUCGAAUCAGAGUAAUUUCUUCGGCAAUAGCCAAAUAUUGAUAUUUGAUCUUGACACUGUAGUUAAAUGAAUGUAACUGGUUUUGUCAUUUGAUCCCCAGCAUUUUUUUAACAAGGAAGACGAUAUUGGAAUCAAUUCUAUCAAAGCGGUGGAUGAUCCAAGAACACUGAACAAAAUACUUUACAUCAGACCCCGUUGCAGUAUCUACUCAUUCAAUGAUCUUGUGUCUCUGUGGGAGGAAAAGAUUGGCAAAGCCCUUGACAGGGUCUAUGUUACAGAGGAACAACUUCUGAAAAACAUUCAAGGUUAGUUAGAACUAUCACUUUAUUCGUUACUGAUGACAACACAUGGAGAAAUUUUCCUUGGUCUUAUCAAGUGGAUAGAUGUAACUGACCGAUAAUGGAAAAUUUUUUCCUUCUCCAAAAUGCGAUAGAAUCUAAUCGGUUUCAACAAUCUCAAGAACAUCUAUUCAUGGUUGUGUUGUUUGAAAUCUGUAUGUAUCAGUUUUCUUUCUAGAUCUCAGAUUGCUCGCAAGGAUGUCAAGUUUUGAUGAUGCUUGCCUGUUUUCCUGUGUUUACAGAAGGCUCAUAUCCACUCAAUAUGAUAUUAUCUAUUGGGCACUCUGCCUAUGUCCUGGGAGAUUAGACCAACUUCGAAAUUGAACCUUCAUUUGGAGUAGAGGCAACCGAGCUUUGUCCAGAUGUCAACUACACUACUGUGGAUGAGUACCUCAACCAGUUCAUAUAAACCUUCUGAGAUGAGCAGCAGGAUCCUAACCAAAAAUUGGGUGGUUUCCAUCCCUGAUUCUAUGGUAUAAAGAUAGCGGCUUUCCAUGCUUUUGCCAGUUCAAUGAAGUUUGUUAGAUGAUGUUAUUUAUACUAUACUAGCAAAGAUCAAGUUGCCUUUCUUGUCAAGAAGCCAAGCUCUGGCAUUGGUUUAUGCUAGUUUUUCACACUAAUAUUGGUAUUCACUAAUUUUUUUUUUUUCAUUUCACACCUCCAUCAUCAGUUGAGAUACCCUCUUGUAUGGUACUAACUUUGAUUUUCCUUAUGCUUCACUUGCUGUCUCUGCAGAUUCGUAAAAGAUCAUUCAUGGAUAAGAUCAGAACAUCAAUGUAAUACAGUAUGCAUUGAGAACUCCCACAUGAGUCUUGUUCUAGUUCUCGUUAGACAUGAAACAUGUUACAGUUCCAUAACUUGAGACAUUGUCAUUCAACAAUUAUCAUCGCAUUAAAACAGUGGCCAAUCCCUAACAGCUACCUUUUGACUCUUCACAUUUUUUUUCUGCAUUUUAUGCGCAUUAAUUAUCCAGACCUAGACUUACUCUUCUCAGCUUGGCCCGUUGGACAGUGAGUGAUGAAACAGAAAAUUUUUCAUGUUUAUGAAUGUAUGAAGUAUCUCUUCUGCACUGCACCGGCAUCCUCCUUAACUGUCAGUAGGAUCACAAUAAGUCGACCAACCAUCUACCGUAUGGAUUAUCUAUAAAUUGAAAUUGGUGUGUAUUAUGGAUCUGUCACUCUGCUGCUUCUGUUUUCUUUUCUAUUUUUACCAAGAAAGAAACAUUGUUAAAACUGAAUGGUUGUUAUCUCGUCUUGUUGUAAUGUUGUGUAUGCUUUCUAGAAAAUAAUGAAGUGCCAAAUAUGAAAAUACUAGUGGCUACCUUACCAUCCUUAAUAAGUUGUCUGAUUGUCACCGUCAACAAUCACUCUCAGAAACUCAUAAUCCAUUUAAGCAUAUUAUAAAAUAAUCAAUUUUGUAUUUGCACCAACUUUUAGUUUUAAAUGACAAUUUCGUUGAUCCCCUCACACUUCUGUACUAAUCAAAUCCACUGAAACUGGACUUUUUUUUUUUUUUUUUUAUAAUUACAUCGAUUGCAAUGGCUAUUGCAGGGAAAAGACAGCCUCUACAGGGAACUAAACUUUCAGAAUUGAUCUUAUGAGGGUUUGAAUAUGCUCUCGUACUAGGUCAAUGGCCUAUUGGUUCGAGACCAUUCACAAAGAAAGAAAUGAGUUUUGCUUGUAUAAAUGAAAGAAAUCCAAAUGAUAACUAAUGUAUAGUGGUACAUGAGAAAAAUAAUUUCAGCCCCUGUGUAAAGUCAAAAAGAGAAAAUAUUAAAAGAAAGGAUAAUGUCAUUGAGUUCGGUGAAGUGAAAGAAAAUAAAAAACAUGGGAUUUAGUCAAACUUAGUGUCCCAAUCAGCAGAAAAAGGUUUUAGAAACUCACCUCAAGUUAAGCCAACUAUUAGGAGCUUUAUUUAAUCAUGGCUUUCUAAUGUAUAGUACUCCAAUACUAAACGAGGGCUACCUCUACGCUUGCAAAUGUAAAUGAAAUUGAGUUCGUGACGCACAAUGAAGUGAGCAAAAUGAGUUGAGAUCUGAGAAUAUAUUAAAGAAAAUAUGAAUCAAUGAAUUUUGGUUAAAAAAAACAAAUGCUGGUUCUUCAAGACCUGCGUGUAUUGUGUAAGUUUUGUUAGGAGAAGGAAAGCAUUUUGGUCUAAAACGCACUAAAUCGGAUUCAUUUGCUUGAUAUCUAAUAAGGGUGAAUUAACCACUCGCCCACAGCAAUUCAAGUACCCAAAAAAGUUUUGUGGGGGCUAAAUUUCUUCUUUAAUUAUAACAAAUAAUUGAGCGGAGGAUAAAAAUUUAGGCCAUGUAUAACAAUAACUAAUAUAAACUAGUCCUAAUAAUAGUAUAAUUGUAAAUAUCAGUUGUAGUCUCAUACAAUAUAAGUUUAUAGAUUAUAAUAUCGGCAUAAAAAGAAAAAUGAUAUCUGACGGUCAAUCAAUAAAAGGACAAAAACUUGGAGUAACAUACCACAAAGUCAAUGUAGCUGGACAGUGAAUAUAAUAUGUAAACAAAUUUAAAUGGGAUAAUACCAUACGGUACAUACAUAACAUUUUAAAACUGAAUUAAAAAAAUAAAAUUAAAACUGAAUUGGAAUUCGUAUGUGUAUCCAGCUACCUUGCCACAGUUGUAAGGUACCCUAACUUUGCAACAAUUUCAUCCUUCGUGCAUUCGGUCACAAAGUCCAAAUUAGGCACGUUUAAGAAUCGAACUGAAAAACUAAAAAAAAGAAUCCGGCGAUAUUUGCGAACCGGAAACGAGCCAGCGUUAUGCUUAUGUCAUUUCAGAGAUAUCAACAGUCGUGCUUUCAGUCCUUAAACCUCAAGGGCAUUUUCGUCCUUUCACUCAAGCGUGAAACUGCAUGUAAGAACUGCUUCGCUUACACGCUCCAUGCACAUUUAAAGGCACCACUGUCGGAUAAAAAAUAUCCAUCCAUUUGAUCAUUUCAAAACAAAACGAAAAAAAAAAUCUCAGUAAUUGAACUGAACGAGUCUCAGAAAUGGCAUCGAAAAGUAAGAUUCUAUUCAUCGGCGGGACAGGGUAUAUCGGUAAAUCCACUGUCGAAGCGAGCGUAAAAGCCGGCCACCCGACGUUCGUGCUCGUGAGAGAAUCCACAAUCUCUGGUCCUUCCAAAUCUCAACUCCUCGAUCACUUCAAAAACCUCGGCGUCAAUCUCGUCAUAGUGCGUUUUCAUUUUUCUCUUUUCUUAAUUUUUUAUUCCGAUCAUUUUUACACGUCGAAGUGUAGCAUCUACUACUUAAUAUACAUAAUGAUAUUAUUAUUUUUUAAUUUUUUUGGGUUGCUGUUAUUAUUAUGCAGGGAGAUGUGUUGAAUCACGAGAGUUUGGUGAAGGCGAUUAAACAAGUGGACGUGGUGAUAUCAACGGUCGGUCACACUUUAUUAGCUGAUCAGGUCAAGAUUAUUGCUGCCAUUAAAGAAGCCGGUAACGUUAAGGUAUAACAUAAUUAAUGUAAAUGUCUUAGAUUCCGAUCAGGAUUGUGCACUCGCGAACACGUGGUGAUUUAUUCUUGGUGUGGAGCUCGCUGUAGAGUAGAGCUCCCAGUUCAGCUAAUAAACACCCCGUCACAUGCGCAAUUGCGCCUCAAAAUAAUUUAAUUGAUUAAUUAAGGAUAAAUACCAAUGGCAUGAAAGCAAUUAAAAUUAGUUGAUGUUUAUAAAUUAUUUAUUACUCAGAGAUUCUUACCAUCGGAAUUUGGAAAUGAUGUUGAUCGAGUUGAAGGCGCCGUAGAGCCAACAAAAUCGACGUAUGACGUAAAGGCGAAAAUCCGCCGAGCCGUUGAGGCAGAAGGCAUUCCGUACACUUACGUAGAAUCUUAUUGUUUUGAUGGCUAUUUCCUCCCCAAUUUGUUGCAGCCUGAGGCCACUGCCCCCCUAGGGAUAAGGUUGUCAUCUUAGGCGAUGGAAAUCCAAAAGGUAAUAUAAUUUAAUUAAGCUCUGUUUGUUUGGUAUGUAUUUCGGUGUUAAUGUUAUUGUCUGUUGUACAAUGGAUGGUCUUGCUUGGUACUGUUGUUGGAGAGCUGCAGUGUUUUGAUAAACACCUCUAUCCUUAGCUUUCAAGUUAAGUUGAUUUUAUACAACACUUGUUUAAUUCAAAACUUGUAAUAUUCUUACUACUUUGAUAAAAAAUAUUACGAUUAAAGCAUUAAUGGCACCAUAAUACGAAAUGAACCUUAAGUGGUCAUUAUAGAUUUUAAGAUAGAGUUUUAAGUGAUUACCAGAUACUUUAGCUGCUGAACCGCCACAUCAUGGUUGCCACACAACAAUUUCAAACAGAGCCUAAAUAACUUCAUUGCAAAACAGUUAAAUGAAUCUAACUUAGUUUCGUCGUUUGAUUUUCAGCUGUUUUUAACAAGGAAGAUGAUAUUGGAACCUACACUAUCAAAGCGGUUGAUGAUCCGAGAACCUUGAACAAAAACUUUUACAUUCAGCCUCCCGGUAAUAUUUACUCAUUCAAUGAUCUUGUGUCUCUGUGGGAGAGAAAGAUUGGUAAAACCCUCGAAAAGGAGUAUGUUUCAGAGGAGCAGCUCCUAAAGAAUAUUCAAGGUUGGUUAAAACUCUCUUUUUUUAAAUGUAUUAAAGAGAGCCGUAUAUUCUCUGCCGUAAAUGUUAUUGAUCCUGUCUUCUCCAAAAUGUUGCAGAAGCUGCACCUCCACACAAUGUGAUAUUAUCAAUUUAUCACUCUGCUUUCGUGAAGGGAGUUCAAACCAACUUCAAGAUUGAACCAUCUUUUGGAGUUGAAGCCUCGCAGCUUUAUCCUGAUGUCAAGUACACUACAGUUGAUGAGUACCUCAAUCAGUUUGUGUAACCCUUCUCUGUUUCCAGCUGCAGCUUGCAGGAUCUUGGACUGUUGGUAAAUAAAUAAUUGGCUUGUUGCCAUCUUUGGUUUUAUAUGUAAAAAUUAUGGUUGUUGGCCUUACUUUCUUCUGGUUGUCCAUGGAAUUUGUUAGACCAUAUUUUGUUUGCUAUGUCAGUGAUCAAAUGAAGUAGGCCAUGUACUUGAUUUGAGAGUAGUAGUUAUAAAGCCAUCAUGAUCAGGUGGGUGCGUGGGUUGGGCUUCUAUUAGGGUGCGUGUGUUGGGCUUCAGGGGCUUGUGAUAUGGGUUCGACAGCC